Molecule: long non-coding RNA, 62433 nt
Filed under: Physcomitrium patens
Lineage: Eukaryota; Viridiplantae; Streptophyta; Bryopsida; Funariales; Funariaceae
Description: long non-coding RNA (PPAT_LNC006814)
Source: RNAcentral
GCUUCAUUGGUAGCCGUAGAAAGCACGUUAUAUUAAACAAGUAGAGAGAGAGGCAAGGACUAUCCUUUGCUAAUAGGCAACAAAAAAAUUCUAAUUCUAAUAGAAUACUAACAAUGCUAAACAGCUUUAAUCAAAUUCAAAGAAACCUCAAAGAAAUUUCAAAGAAAUAAUAAGAAAUCUUAAAGAAAUAUUAGAAUGAUCACAAAUUUAUCUCAAAUACAUCACAAUUCAAUCUUAAUUUAAUCCUAGUUAAAAUCCUAUUAGACUUCAUUCAAACUUUAGGCCAAAACUAAUUAAAUCUUAAAUCCUAAACAAAUCCUAAUAAAAUCCUAAACCCUAAAUCAAAUCCUAAAUUCUAAACCAAAGUCUAACCAAAUCCUAAACAAAUCCUAAAUCAAAUCCCAACCAACUCCUAAACCAAACCCUAAAUCCUAAACCAAAUCCUAAAUCUUAAAUCAAACCCUAAACAAACCCUAAAUCUUAAAUCAAAUCCUAAAUAAAUCCUAAAUCAUAUCUUAAAUCCUAAAUCAAAUCCUAAAUCAAACCCAAAUCCUAAAUCAAAUCCUAACCAAACUCUAAAUCCUAAAUCAAACCCUAAACCAAAUCUUAAAUCCUAAAUCAAAUCCUAAUCAAAUCCUAAUCUUAAAUCAAAUCCUAACCAAACUCUAAAUCCUAAUCAAAUCCUAAAUCCUAAAUCAAAUCCUAAACCAAAUCCUAAAUCCUAAAUCAAAUCCUAACCAAAUCUUAACCCUAAAUCAAAUCCUAACCAAACUCUAAACCCUAAAUUAAUCCCUAACCAAACCCUCGUAAUUCUUACAACAGAUUUAAAUCUCAAUAACUAAUGAAUGAAUCAUCGAUCUUAAUCCAAAUUUUUCACACUUUUUGAAAACUAAAUUAAAAAAAAGCACAAAAAAUUUGAAAAAGAUCGGAAUUACCAAAUAGACAAUAACCUCAAAAAUGUGCUCGGAUAUUGGCUGGCUUCCUUUUCCAACCUUGAUGCCAAUCUCUCAGAGCCAAUAUCUCUCCUUUUCACCGUUCGAUUGAUCUCAAAAUUCUCAUACACAUAGAAAUACAAGUUAAAUAUCUUCUCACAUAAAUUUUAUUCCAAUCCAACCAAUAGAUUGCAAGAAAUCUUAAAAAUUCUCACUGGACCUAAAAUUCUACUUUUUGAGACCUUGACCUUGUUAAACCUCAAUAAUCCUUAAUUCAACCGUUAGAUUGAGCUCAAAUUUAUUAUUCAUAUUGAACACAACUAUAAAUAAUAACUUACAAUAUUUCAGCCAUAGAUCUGUUACAAAACUCUUGAAAUCACCCAAAACGUAAAUCUUAUUUUAUUUCACAAAAUUCAAGUCAUCCAAACCAAACCUUGACUUUGCAAAGCUCUUACAAGGUCAAUAUAGAUCCAAAGCAUCCAAAACCAAUGCUCAUAGAAACCUUAUUCAAUCUUCUAUUAAAUCCUACUCUCCAAUCUACCAAAGAGUCCCGAAGUCGUCGUCAAGACUCAAUUUUGUGCCUCAAGGUCUGAUUUUGAUCCUAGUUCAUAACUAGCCCUCUCCGGGUAUCAAUAUCUAGUUUUUCUAAGAAAAUUUUACUAGAAUUUACUCUUAACUUCCUUCUUAAGAUACUUAUAUUAUUUUUUUUCCAAUCUACAUUGUUUUGCCUUAUUUAUGGCCCUACAAAGUAAGUAGAAGUCACUUUUUUAAAAAGGCAGCAUUACUACUAAAAGUUUUACUACCUCCCUAACUUUUAUCCAUAUUUUUUUAUAUUAUCUUUUAACUUUAUUUUUCUAUAAUAAGAUCCAUAUUAUCAUCUUUUACCAUAUAGUUGUAUUACAACACGAUAAUGAGAAUGCCAUGCCAUGGUUUUUUCUAUUAAAAAGUUUAGACAUUAUCUUUUCUUAAAUCCAGUGGUAUUUUUUAUAGACCACAUGGUAAUCAAGUACCUUGUGAAUAAGGCUGAUUUAAGUAGUAGACUUACAAGAUGGGUGCUUCUACUAGAAGAAUUUGAUUAUAUAGUAGAAUACAAGCCUGAAAAGAUGUAUAAGCAAACAGACCAUUUAUCUAGGUUGUCACAACAAAUUGGUGAAGCCCUAAUUGACGACACCUUAAUACAUGAAACCUUGUUUAUUGUUUCAAUUUCUCCUACUUGAUAUGAAUUAAUUGCCAAAUUUAUGAUAACCUAAGCCUUGCCUUCUCAUCUUUCUAAAAUAGAAUGUAUGAAGGUGAGAAUCAAUAAUAGACACUUUACCAUAAUUGGAGGCAAAUUAUAUAGACGUGGAAUCAACGGGAUGUUAAAGAGGUGUAUCAUGGACAACAAAAUUCCUACCAUUCUAUCAAUAUGUCAUGAUAGUGCAUAUAAGAGAUAUUUUUCAGGGACCUUAACGGGCCAAAAAUCCUUAGAACUAGCUAUUAUUGGCCUAUAUUAUUCUAAGGCAUCUAUAGAUAUACAAAAGCUUAUGAUGCAUGUCAACAAUAUCGUAAUACGUAAAGUCUUGCUUGACAAUGAUCCGGGUACCUAGCUAAGGAAGAUAGAAUAGAAAUUGCAACAAUAAAAUCCUAAUUGUAAUAGAACACUAACAAUACUAAACAAGCCUUAAUCAAAUUCAGAGAAACCUCAAAGGAAUUCCAAAGAAACACUAAGAAAUCUUAAAGAAAUAUUAGAAUGAUUACAAACAUAUCUCAAAUACAUCUCAAUUCAAUCUUAAUUUAAUUCUAAUUGAAAUCUCACUUCAUUCAAACUUUAGGCCAAAAACUAACUAAAUCUUAAAUCCUAAAUAAACUUAGAUAAAAUCCUAAACUCUAAAUCAAUUCUUAAACCCUAACAAAAUCUUAAAUCCUAAACCAAAUCCUAAUCCUAAAUCAAACCCUAGCCAAACCCUAAACUUUAACCCUAAAUCAAAUCUUAAUCAAAUCUUAACCUUAAUCUUAAAUCCUAAAAUAAACCUUAACCAUACUUUAAUUCUAAAUCAAGCCCUAAUCAAAUUCUAAACCCUAAAUCAAAUCCUAAUCCUAAAUCAAAUCCUAACCAAAUUCUAAAUCUAAUCCUAAAUCCAAAACUAAAUCCUAAUCAAACCCUAAUCCUAAAUCAAAUCCUAAUCAAACCUUAAUCCUAAAUCAAAUCCUAACCAAAUCCUAAUCCUAAAUUAAAUCCUAAUCAAAUCCUAAAUCUAAUCUUAAAUCCUAAAUCAAAUCCUAACCAAAUCCUAACCCUAAAUCAAAUCCUAACUAAAUCCUAAUAAUUUCUACAAUAGAAUUAAACCUCAAUAACUAAUGAAUGAAUCCUUGAUCUUUAUUUGAAUUUUGCACACUUCUUAAAAAUUAAGUUGAAAAAAAGUACAAUUUUUUUAAAAAGAAUUGGAAUUACCAAAUAGUUGAUAACCUCAAAGACGUGCUCAAGUAUUGGCCGGCCUCCUUCUCCAACCUUGAUGCUAAUCUCUCAGAGCCAAUAUCUCUCUUUUUCACCAUUCGAUUGAUUUCAAAAUUCUCAUAUACAUAGAAAAACAUGUCUAAUACCCUUUCACAUAAAUUAUACUCCAAUCUAACUAGUAGAUUGCAAGAAAUCUUAAAAACCCUCAUUGGACCUAAAAUUCUACUUUCUGAGACCUUAACUCACUUAAAUCUCAAUAAUCCUCAAUUUAAUCAUUAGAUCAAGCUAAGAUUCACAUAACAUAUUAAGCACAAUAAUGACCAUUAGCCCACAAAAUUUCAUCCAUAGAUCUAUUAUAAAAAUCUUGAAAUUACUAGAAAAAUAAACCUUAUUUUAUUUUACAAAUUCUAAGUCAUCUAAAAACAAUCUUGACUUUGUAAAGCUCUUACAAAGUCAUCAAAACUCCAAAUCACCUAAAAUUAAUGCUCAUAGAAACCUUAUCCAAUCUGCUAUUAAAUUUUACUCUUUGAUUUGCAAAAAAACCUCCGAAUUCUCGUAGGUACUAGGUUUUGUGCCUCACGGUCUGGUUUUGAUCAUAUGGUUAUAUUAUUUUUGAUCAUCUGGUUUUACCAUAUGGUUAUAUUACAACACAACAAUAAUAUGCUAGGAAUGACUUAAGCAUGAGUCUUCCUCUCCAUGUAUCCUUAUUUUUAGUUCCCUUUAGAAAAUGUUACUUUAAAGGUUGUUCUAUAAGCCUUUAAAGGUUGUUCUAUAAGCAACCCUUUUUUCCUUAAUUUAUGGCAUACAAGCAAUUUUAUCAAUUGAGUUUGAAAUUCCUUCUUUUUGUAUUUUCUUGAUGGAAAGAUUGUCAACUAAACAAUCUUUAAUUGAUUGGUUGGAAUGAUUAGAAGGUCUAGAUGAAGCCAGAAGAUGAAGUGCUCAACAUAUAGAGAUAAUUCAAAGAAGAAGAAAAAUUUCCUUUGACAAAUGAUACAAGAUUAGAAUCUUAACACCUUGCAUGUUGGUCUUCUUACAAGAUGCUAGGAGAUUAGACUUCCUAGAAAAAUUUGAUGCCACAUGGUUAGGUCCCUAUUUGGUUAAAGAAGUCUUUGCAAAUAAUUCAAUUUGGCUACAAACACUCAACAGUGAAAAUUUUCCAACCAAAAUAUCUAGAAAUAGAUGUAAAGAAUAUGGAGUGUGAUUACUAUCAUACACAAAGUCAAAUGGCUCAUCAUCAAAUUCACUCUUAUUCAAUUCCUUAAGUGACAAAUUAUCAAAAUCAAAUGGAAUUUAACAGCUAAACAUUGGACCUCAAGAUAAGCUACAAUUAUAUUCAAUUUUCUUGUCUUCUUUUGAAUUUAGUUCCUUCACCAAAUAAUUAGAGAUAUUCUAAGUAAAGGAGACAAGUACUUGAUGAGACUUUUAUACAAAAAAAUAAAUAAAUAAAUAAAUAAAUUAUUAAAUUAUUAAAAAUUGUGAGAAUGUAUCUUAGUAAACAUCCUAAUGGCAUAGAAGGGUUGGUUAGGUGAGAAGGUGUCAAGUGAGUGUCCCGGGUUUGAAUCCAGUUGGAAAAAAUGGGCUAUCCUAAUGAGCUAGUAUUAGUACAAGAAAAGACCAACCUUAACACUCAACAGAAAUAUAUGCCUUAGAAGGUUGAUAGUAAAAUCCUCCCAUAUUAAAGAAGAAUCUAAAAAGAUCAAUUUUUUAGCUCUCAUUUCUUCUAUAUAUAUAUCUAUAUAUAUAUAUAUAUAUAUAUAUAUAAUGUCAUUAAUUUUUAAGUUAGAUUUAAUUUUCUUUGUCAUUCUUGAUUAAUUCUAUAAAACAAAACUUGCUUUAGUUCCUUCAGAUUAGUAGCAAGUCACUCAUUCUUAUCUUCAAUAAUUAUUAAGAACUUCCAUAGAAAAAUCUUCUUUAUGUUCAAUAGCAUUUUAGAAGGUCAAUUCUAGGUUCUUCUCCUUUACAAGUCGUUCGAGAUGAUCACCAUGUGUGAGUCAUCAAAUUAACUCACUUAUUAUUUUAGAAUAAAAAUAUGCAGUUAGAAUGCUUUAAAUCACAAUAUAUAGUGAGUAGUGAGAAAUUCUUUGAGAAAUAGAAAAUUAGAAUAUUAGUGGUAGAGAUGGAAUCUAAGUAAGUCUUAGAGACAAUUAUCUUCAUUGAUUUAGUAUUUUUAUUCAUUGUUGAGUAUUAAAGAAUAUUUAUUAAGACCAAUAAUUAUAUUGGUCUUCUAUCUAUAUAUACUAUUUAUAAAAAAUAUAAAUUUUAGUUAUUAAAAGAAGCAUGAAUAAGAAUCUCAUAUCAUUUUAGUUAUUGAUAUAAAAAAUAGGAUUUAUAGUGGAUUUAAAUUGAUGUUUAUUAUAAUCAAAAAUCACAAAGGUAGGAACAUAUAGCCUUGCAUGGAUAUUAGUAUUAUUGAAAUAUUAUAGGAUUUUUAAAAUUUUAUUUAGAAUUUAUUUAUAUUUUUUUAAGAAUUUUUAGAGCAAUGUUUAAGAUCUUCGUAAAAAUGAGUUUUACCACUUCGAAAGCUAUUAUGAAGAAAGGGAGUAAGAUUUGAAGGCCACAUCAAGUUCCAAGCUAAUUGGGUGUUUUUAAAUACCAUGGUGUAGUCAAAAAUAUAAAACAAUGAGUUUUACUAGUAGAAAAUAGAAGGACCAACAACUAGUCUAGUCCUUGUAGGAGAAAAGGUCUACAAGUUCCAUAUGGGUUGUAGCACCUUGGGUUUAGGUAGGAAGAUAAGACUAAGGCCUCAGGGCCUCUUCAGACACCUGAUAUACACUACAUGUGAGCCUUAGUGAGGCUCAAACCCUUGAAGUAUAAGCAAGUUAUCCUUGAGGUAAAACAUUUUCACUUAACUUUUAUUUAUUUACUUAUUAUUUUUAAACCUUCAUAAUUUAUUCAUAGUAACUCGGAUUUACAUGUUUUUUACAUCAUUGAAAAGCUUAAAAAAUUAACUUCCUAAAAAUAUACUUUUUAUUUUUAUUUUUUACUUUUUAUUGGAUAAAAACUCCGUGAACAAACUGUGACCGAGUUUUGGAGUAUGUAUUUGCUUAUAUAUAUUUCUUUCACUUAUUUAUAUUGUUUCUUCUUUUGUUCUUGUUCAUUGCAUCUUCUACUUCAUACUACCUAUUACAAGCAGCUCUUAAUUGAAGCCAUCUUAUAAUUUGGAUAGAGAGGUUAACUUUAUAUUCACAACUUUUCUAAGGCAUUUUUUAUGGAAACAGAUGCAUGAGACUUUUCUUUGGGUACCAUAUCAUCACAAAUGACAGCAGAUGAUAAACUUCACUAAGUAGCUUUUCAUUCCAAAAAAAUUGUAGCAAUCGAAAUUAACUAUGAAAUCCAUAAAACAGAACUUUUUGCAAUCAUGGAUUCAUUUCAAGAAUUGCGUCAUCAUUUAGAAGGUACUUCUAAUCUAGUCACUGUAUAUACAAAUCACAAGAAUCUUGAGUACUUUAUAUGAGCACAUGUUUUAAAUUGUCACAAAGCCCGUUAGAGCAUGUCUUUAUGAAGAUUUGAUUUCAAGAUCUCAUAUUGAUCCAAAGAACUAUAAGGUUUAUUAGACACCUUUUUUAGAAGUUCUUAUCUUUUAUUAAAGGAAGAAAAUGAAUCUUUUGAUCAACAAAGAAUAAUUUUCUUUAAGCUAGAGAAUUUUCAUCUUCAAGUAAUGAAAGCAUCAUUGACUGUUGAUUUGACUCUUGUGAAACAAAUCUAAUCAAGUAUGUCUUUUGAUCCUCUUAUUCACAAUAUCAAGAAUCCUUCUUCUAAGUCCAAAGAUACUUCUAAGUUUGAAUUCAAAAAUAACUUACUCUAUUUUUGAAGGUUGAUUAUAUGUUCCAAAAGGAGAAGCAUGUUUACAUGUUCUUGAAGCAUGUCACGAAUUUCCAACUACUAGAUAUUUUGGAUACAAUAAGACUUUGGAACUUAUAUCCAGAGAUUUUUGAUGGCUACAAAUGCAAAAGGGUGUGAAAGACUUUUUUCAGUUAUGCGAUAUUUGUUGAAGAUCAAAAACUUCUCAUCAUUGAUCUUACCUAUUCCAGAACAAUCAUGGUCUUCUGUUUCUAUAGAUUUUAUCAUAGAUCUUUCAAUCUCAGGUUCUUAUGACUUUAUUUCAUAAUAAUAGAUCAUUUAAUCAAGAUGGCACAUUUUGUAUUAUAUAUAAAAUCUAUCAUAAGUGAAGAAAUAGCUAAACUCUUUCUUGACAACAUCUAUCGCUAUCAUGGAUUAUCUAAGGAUAUUAUAUCCGAUAGGAAAACUCAAUUUAUAUCAAGAUUUUGGUAGAUUCUUUUUAAGAAUCUAAAAGUGGAUAUAAAACUAUCUUCAAUAUUCCAUCCUCAAAAUGAUGGACAAACGGAGCAUGUUAAUCAAGUUUUGGAAUAGUAUUUAAGAUGUAUCAUCAACUCCCAAUAAGAUGAUUGAAUAAUUCUUUUACCAUUGGCAAAAUUUACUUUUAAUAAUAUGGUACAUUCUUCUAUAAAAUAAAUAUCUUUCUUUACUAAUUAUAGUUAUCAUCCAUGACUUGAUACUUUUGAUUUUUCAAAAGUUGAUAAUCCUGCGGCGGAAGAUUUUAUAAAUCAUUUGUCAAAGCUACAUGCAACAAUGAAGGCAUAGUUAAAAGAAGCUUAAGAACAAUAAAAGAUCAAUGUAGAUGUCUAUUAAAAGAAAUAACUACCAUUCCACAUAGGUGACAAGGUAUAGUUACUUCAUUGUAAUAUCAAGACUACUUGUCCUUGUGACAAGUUAGACUAUUUUAAGCUUAGACUAUUUUCUAUUUCUGUACAAAUCAAUCUAAUUGCAUAUUAUUUACAUCUACUAAAGUUGAUAAAAAUCCAUCUAAUAUUCUACUUGUCUCUUAAACCAUAUGAUAGAUUUGACAUAUCAAGAAGAAGACAAGCUCUACUUCGUCCUAUAGAAGUAGACAAUAAUAAAGAAUUCAAAGUCGAAGAAAUAAUAGACUCAAGGUAGUUCCAAAAUAAAUUAGAAUAUCUUAUCCAUUAGCAUGGAUAUGAUAUUAGUGAAUGCACAUAGAAGCCAGUAAAGAAUCUUGCAUAUACAACAAAGGCGGUGGAGGCUUUUCAUUGAUGACAUCCAUCAAAAUCAAGAUGAAAAACUUCUGUUGUCGUAUCAUGUCAUUUUCUAUCUCGAAAUACAUUGAAUAUCUAGCUAUAGAGAAUUUAGCUUGAAAUUUUAUAUGUAUCUUUUUUUAGCUUCCAAAAUUCCUUUAUUUUGCAUAAAAUUCAAAAUAUAACAAAAUCCCUUCAAAACAUAUUUUUCUCGUGAAGGAUUUUCUCUUCUUAAACUUUAAAAAUUCAUAACUCUUGAUCUAACUAUUUAAUUUUUCUCAAAUUAAUAAGAUAUGUAGAAUUCACUCUUACGUUUUACUACAAAAAAAUUCAAUUACAAAUUCAGUCUUGAUCUUUUGACAUCUAAGAAAUCCUAAUAGAUGCUCUAAACCCUAAUUUACAAGCACCUGAGCACUAUUUUCUUAAUAACUCAAGAUUCCAAUACUCAAAUGCUAUCAAUUUUAUGUACAAAGUUUAUUCACAUGAAUAUACACAUUCUUUAAAAUUUUGAGUCAAAACCUUGUCAAAUUUCUCAAGAAAUAGCUCAAGACACAACCACUAAUAAAUCAAGUCACUUACUACCCUUAGAUUGCAUGCAUUGACUUCAAAAUCCAAUAUCUCCUUUAUCACAACUUGGAAUCUAACAAGCAAUAUACAAAAAAUAUAGCCGCAAAAGUUUUCUUUUUAGUUGCGGUUGCCGAUCUUCAAUUGCUCUCUGCACGCAUGUGUGAUGUCAAAAAGCGUGACAGUAGCUCUCAAAUCAAUACCUUAACUUUGAGCACCUAUAUCUCCUUUAUAUAAACUCCAAAUCAUAUAAUAUUUGUACCAAAACCAUAGCCAAAAACUUGAGCUUUCUAAUCCUACUCUUCAAAGUUCGAAUGGCUUGGAAAACUAAUCCUAAUCUCUACUAUGGCCUUAGGCAGCCUCCUUGAAGUCUAUUGGUCACGAUUUUUGACCAAUAGGAAUGGAGAUUUUCAUCAUCCAUCUCCAUUCAUCUAUAUAGAUGCCCUAAACUCUCUUUUUGCUACCAAUAUCCUUCUCCAACUCUUUUCUUUACAAGAUUUAUUCAAUAUAUGCUCUACACACCAAAUUAAAGAAUCAAAAUAAGACUUCAAGGGUCACCAAUGUCUAAUAAAGAUGACUCUAAAUAUUUGAAAUUAUUACCAGUAAAAUCAAUCUCAAAAGCCAUUAUCAAAAGAAAAUAAAGUUAUACAAAUUCUAAUAAUAAUACUUUUAAACAACUUCAUUUUAAAUUAGUAAUUUAACCACAUUCUAUAACCAACUAAAAUACAAUAACAUGGCUCUCACCAUGUUGUUAAGUAAAUUAUGCAUUAAAUACAUAAUCAUAUUAUUUUCAUAUGGUAGCCGAACCACAAUGCGACACCAUAUAAAAGAAACAAGAUCUAAGCAAGAUAACAUUCUACUUUCAAUCCUUGUUUGUAACUUCUUUGUAGUUGUGACACUAAGGAGAUGGAGAACCAAUAACUAGCGGAUUCGAUUAAAGAGCCUUCAUUUGUUGACUUGCUGGAUAAGAUAUUGCAAUUGUCAUAACCUUCAAGAUGAUGUAAUCAAGAUGAAGAUCUUGAAGAACAACAUAUUUUUUCUCAAAUAGAUGGCAAGAUACAACUUCUUUGGUAUCACAACCUUUGAAGAGACUGUCGAUGUUUGAUAAUUUUAUUAGAAGUAGAAACAAUUCCUGGUGGUAUUCUAAAUAUUUUAUUUGAAGGAAGUUAUGAAGGCCUCAAUAAUGAUCAAAUAACAGGGUGAUCUUUCCGCCUUGAUAUGAGACACUAUCAAUAGUUGAGAAGCCCUAUCAAGCAUCUUUGAAGAGAACAAAGAUCUGAGUAUGUGACAAAUAUAAUUUGUUGAAUUAUAGAUUUCUUCAUGAUAUGAUGAUUGCUUCUUGUGGAACUUGUCAUUAGAAGGGGAGGUAAUAUCAUGGACAUAUACAUGUAAGCAAAUAUUUACCUGUAUAAAUAGGUAGAAGUAAGUAGAAAUAAGUAAAAGUAAGUUAAUUCUAUAAUAUCUUCUAUAGAAGCUUCAUAGAUACUGCUUUGAUUUUAUAGGUAUCUAUAAUUGACUUUUUGAAUUAGAAAAGUAGUCAAUAAGUUGGCCAUGUGCCACACAUGUUGUUAGCUUGAAGAUCAAGCUAACUAUGUGGCCCAUACAUAGAAAAACUUUCCUUGUAAGUCAAGGCAUGUGUCCUACAAAGUCAACACAUAUUGAAGGUCCUAUAGAAUAUUGCCACAUAGUUUCUAGUUAGAUAGUAUAUAUAGAGACAAGAGUGAAGCCUUCUUUUGUCUUAUCAACUUCAUUCUUGCUUCUAGUCUAGUUUCAAGAGUCUCAAGUUUCCUUAUUUUUUGGCAAUAAACUAUUCCAAUUUCUUUUUAAUAUACAUACUUCCUUAUUUCUAGUUUGUUAUUCUUUCUUUGACACUGAUUUCAUUGGUUUAUGCAUCAUCUUUUAAUUUAUGUCCUUUAUAAUAAGUUAAGAUAUGUGUCUUGUAAAGACAAUAUAUUUUAGAAGUUUUAUAAGACAUUGCCAUAUAGCUCCUAGUUAAGAAUAUAUAUGGAAGGUAGAGUGAAGCCUUCUUUACUAUUAUUAAUGCCAUUCUAGUCUUUAGUCUUAUUUUAAGACUUUUUAGUCUUCUCAUUUUUGGCAAUAGCCAUUCUAAUUUAAUAUUAUAUCAUCUUUGAGUGACUUUCAAGUUCUUUUCAGUGACUUAAGAGUGUAUUGAGGAUUUUCUUUUAUUAAAAUUUAUAUCCUUAACAGUUAUAAAAAGGCACAAUGUUAUCUCAAAUGAACUCUAAUUUGAAAAGAUAAUCCAAAAGCUAAGUAUAAUUUAUAGAUUAAUUCUUUUCUUAUUUUAGAAUUCAUUAAAUUUCUAAUUAUAGAGAUUCUAAUAAAUAGUAUAUAAAACCUCAAACCAAAUGUGAAUUUUUGCCUCCAAAAAUUCCAACAACUUCUAUUUCACAAAUUUUCUUUGACCUCUCUUAUCACAAAUCCAUUUCUUGUAUUCUAUAACUUAUUAAAAGCUAAAAAUAAGAUUUAGCUUUUUUUCCAAAUUUUAAUACAAAAAGAUAAAAAUUCAAUAAAAAAUAUAAGAAACUCCAAACUUGUCUUGAAUUUUGCUGCAUAAAAAUUCCAUUGAUCCUUCUUUUUACAAAUCUACUUAGAUCUUCCUUGUCUUAGUUCUUCUUCUUGCAUACUAAUACUUCUUUAGAAAGCUAAGAAUAAGAUCUAGCUUCUUUUCAAAUCUCAAUACAAAAAAAUAAAAAUUCUAUAAGUAGCAUAAAAAAUCUCAAAUUAAUCUUAAAAUAUCAGCAGCUCAAAAAUUCCAAUGACUUCCCUCCUAGAAAUCUACUUGGAUUUUCCUUAUUACAGCUCCAUUUCUUGCAUGCUUAAGGUUAUUGAAAAGUUAAUAAUAAGAUCUAAUUUUUUUUAUAAAUUUUAAUAUAAAAGAAUAGAAAUCUAAAAAAAAGCAUACAAAAUCCAAUUCAGCUUCAAAUCUUGUCACUUUUCCUAAAAUUCUAUCUUUCUAUCUAUGUCUCUCUCUCUCUCUCUCUCUCUCUCUCUUUCUCUCUCUAUAGCUAUAUAUAUAUAUAUAUAUACAUAUAUAUAUAUUUCUCUUUAUCUUCAAAAUAAAUCCACUUAAUGUCAAAAUCUUUACUCUUACCUUCUCUCAAUACUUGUGUUGAACCACUAUAGAAUUGGAUAUUUAUUUUAAAAGAUAAUACUUUCAAAGCUUGAAUAAUUCAUUCAAGCCAACAAUCUCUUAUUUUAAAUUCUAUUCAAAUUUGUAAAUAUAUUAGCAUUAUAUUCCUUCAUUCCUACAAGUAAAAUUAAUUAUUCUCCAAAAGACUUUGAUACACAUAAAUUAAGUACAUCAAGACACUUUCUCUUCUAAACCUAUAUAUACUUUGGUAUGUACCAAUGAAUUGAAUCACAUCACCUCCAUCAUCAAAAUCAAAGUCAUUGUAAACUAUAUCACUUUUAAAACAUGGAUCAAAAUAUUGAGAUUGAAAAGCCUCUAAAUCCUUCAUACAAUUCACUCUAGCUUGUUGCUUGAAGACAUUAAUUUAUUUGCUUAUAAUCUUAGUCUUCAAUAGUAUCUCAUCUAUUUUUUGAAGAGAAUAAGUUGUAUUAUAAUGUACUUUAAUGAUCACAUAGGGUCUAAACCAAUGCCAUGCAAACUUACAAAGAGUAGAAUUUUGAUGCAUCAAAUUACUAUCAUAAAUUAAAAUUUAAUCAUCUUUUUUAAUUAACUUAGGCCUCUAUCCACGAGUUUCAUCAAAUCUCUCUUUAUUGUUCAACCUUGUUGCUUUAAGCUUCUCCAUAGCAACUUGAUGAUCUUUAGGCAAUCUCUAUAGUUGGUGAAUUUGUGAGGAUAAAUUUCUCAUUCAUCUCAAAUUACAAGAUGGACUUUAUUAAAAAUUACUUGUAAUUGGUGGUAUAAAGUGGAAGAUGAAAUAAAUAAGAACAAAAGAAAGAACAAUACAAAAUAAGUGGAAUAAGUACAAUCAAACAAUUGCAUACAACAAAAGUAAUACAUAGUAUAUUCUUUGAAUUUUUUUUUAAUAAAAAAUAAUAAUACAUAUUAAAAAAUAUAUUUUUAGAUAGAUAAUUUUAUUAUCUUUUUAAUGACAUAAAAAAUAUAAAUCCAAAUUACUGCUAAUAAAUUAUAAAAGUUCAAAAAUAAGAAGUAAAUAAUUAAAAAAUUAAGUAAAAAUAAUUUAUCUCAAAAAUAACUUGCUUAUAGAUCAAGGAUUUGAAUCUCACCAAGGCUCACAUAUAGUAUAAAAUGGAUUUUUAAGAAAGGCCACAAGACCUUAGUCUUAUCUUCCUAACUCUAUUCAAGUUACUAUAAUGCAUAUGGAACUUGUGUAUCUCUCUUUUUACAAGGACUAGACUAGUUGCUGGUCCUAACUAGUAAAAUUCAUAGUUUGUCAUUUUUGACUUUACCAUAUUCUUUAAAAACAUCCAAAUAGCCUAAGUACCUUGUGUGGCCUUCAAUUCUUAUUCCAUUUAUUCAUAAUGGCUCCCAAGGUGGUAUAAUUCAAUUUUACCAAAGUCUUGAAAACUUCUUUAAAAAUUCCUAAAUAAUUCUAAAUAAAUUUUAAAUAAGACCUAAAAAAUCCUAUAAUAUUUUCAUAAUGCUAAUAUCCAUUUAAAGAUAUAUUUUCUUACCUUAAUAAUUUUUAUAAUAAUAAAAUUAAUUUAAAUCCACCAAAAAUCCUAUUUUUUAUAUAAUUAAUUAAAAAGACAUGAAGUUCUUUUUUAUGAUUUUUCUAACUACUAAUUAAUCAUUGAUAGGCUUUUUAUAAUUAAUACAUAUAGAUAGGAGUCUAAUAAAGAUAUUAUUCUCAAUAAAUAAUCUUUAAUACUUAAUAAUAAAUAAAAAUAUUAACCAAUUAAGAUAAUUACCUCCAAGACUUACUAAGUUUCUAUUUUUAUAUUUUUUCUUUUAGCAAGACUUUUAUAACUUAUAAAUACUUCUAAAUUCUAAUAAAUACUUAAAUAUUCAAAAAUAAUUUCUAAUCUUAAUAUUUAUAUUAUAAAAUAACUUAAAACUAAGUUUUUAACAAAUUCAUCAAUUAAAUUAUAUUGAUGGGACUUACAAAAUUCGAAGUUCCAACAAUCUCUCUUUAUCAAUGCCAUCCUUUCAAGACAAAAACAACCAUGAAAGAAUAGAUUCUUUUAUAAGCAUUAUGAGCUUUCGCUCUAAUAUCAAUUCUAUUGAUACAAAGCUAAUAAUUGUGCUAUGAGUAGUCCUAUCUACUUUUAAAACAAUUGACAAAAGUUUGGACCACAAUCUUGGUUGAUCCUUAUAUGCCUUAAUCAAAGCUUGAAUGAUUGGACAAUGCUCCUUUUUAUUCUUAUCAUUGGCUAUGGAACUAUAAGAGGUGGUCAAUUUUAAUUUCACUCUGUAUCUUAUGAAGAAAUUACAUGCCUUUGCCAUGUCAAGUUCACCUUAAUCUACUUUUAUUCUUUGAAUGCUCUCAUAGCAAUAUAUAAUAUCUUCCAAAACAAACCUAUAUACUAUCUUCAUAGACUUUGACACCAACGCCCUCUCUUUUACAUAAUUGAAGACUUCUUCUUUUAAUAAAAUUAAAUACUUUAUAUCUCAAAGUUCUAUUGGCAUGGCAAUCAAAUCAAUCACUAUGAGCUAAAAUAAACCUCUACUAAUUGAAAGUUUAUUCUAAUUCAUAAUAAAUGAAUUAACUAAAUGAAUUAAAUAUAAAGCUAUUAUUCAAAGUCAAAUUCACUUAUUACUUAUCCUUCUUAAAACAUCAAGUUAUUAAUCAAAUCCUCUAACAUUACUCACAUUUACAAUGAUAAUUCACUCCUUAAUUUCAUGCAAAAUAGUUCCUUCUUCUACUUCUAAUUAAACAAAUUGAUUUAAUUUUAUUAUUAUUAUUAUUAUCAUUAUUUUUAUUAGGUCUUUUUUACUACUUUUUAUUAUUUUAUUAUUUUAUCAUUUUUUUAAAAAAUGUAUAAAUUUUUACUUCAUAAUUAAUUGAUGGUAAAAGUAAUUAUUUAAGUUAUUAUCCUUAAUCCAUAGUAAUUAUAAUUUUUUUAAGGUUGGAUUAAAAAUUAAAAGUGAAAAUUUAAAAGUAAAGUUUAAAAAUUAAAAAUAAAGUAAAAAGAAGAAAUAAAGUAAAGGUUAAAAAAUAAAAAAAAAUAAAAAAUGAGAAUAUUAAAAGUUAAAAAUUAAAGCCAAAAAAGAAUGUAGAAGUUAAAAUUUACUGGAAAAAAUAACAUAAAAUAAAAUAAAAGAAAAAAUAAAUAAAGAGAGGUACAAGCUGAAGUAUCUUGACAACGCCAAAGAUUGAGGGAAGCACCCCCCUUUUCUCCAAAAUUCGCCAAAAAUCCAAAUUAGCUCCAAAUCUAGGGAUUUUUGUUGCGUUGGAAAUUUAACUUCAAUUAACUUUUAUUUCAAAAUUUUCGUGGCAAUAUAACACCUGAACUAUGAGAAAUGCUUCUUCAAAUUUCGGUCAUUGAUCCUACAACUGAAGCCGACCCCCUUUCACUCAAAACUUUUUUAAAAGUUCAUAAUUUCUUAAAAUUUAAUGAAAUUUAUGCAAAUGGAAGCUCAGCUUAAGGAUGCUUGUACUCUAAAAAUUUAAAAAUAAUCCCAUUAAUUGGUUCUGAGGAAUUCCUUUUCAAAGUUGGAUUAUUGAAACUGCCAAGGUAGCCGCCCCCUUGCACUCAAAAAUUCACCAAAAUUUUGGUUCAACUCCAAAUUGAAAAGGCUCGAGUUCGUUGGAAAGCUAAUAAUAAGAGCUAUGUUAUAAAAAAAUCUUCACUUACAAAUCAUAAAAAACCACAGACUGAUUGAGGAAAAUCCUAGGCCCUUCAAACCCAUUUGACUAUAAAAAUGGUUAGUGAUCACUAAUUACAUAGGAGCACCUUUUAAACCACAACAAGCACCACCCAAGACACAAAAUCAAUGCUCAUAUGUUCCUAAAGUUCACAAUGAGAUCUAAGAUGAAGAAAGAAGUAAAAAAUUAAGAUUAGGGUUGGGAUUGAAACCAUACUUUGGUAUGGCUUUGCCCUCAUCAAAAAGAAAAGAGAGAGAGAGGCUUGGGAAACCAAACCACUCUUGUACAAUUGAGUGGUGGCUUGUGGAAGGGCAGCCACAUCUUCACCCUUGACGUCUAAGAUCCCUAAUGUAGAUCUACGGCCUUCCUUCAUCCAAGAGCUAAUUUCGUGACCAAGGCUGAUGGCUCUUGUAAGUUGGAAAAAAAAACGCUUUUUGACAAAUCUAACUUAACCAUUGUGUUUAAAACACCUUUUAAUGUUAGGAUUGACUACUCACAUGCAUUAAUCUAUGCUCCUUUGCAACUUUUAUGAAGGUUUUUUUUACUUACAAGGAUUUAGGCAAUAUUUGUAAAAUUCUUCAAAAAAUGAGAAUUUCAUUUCUCUACUUGUACUUUGAAAGAAAGAAUGCUGAACUUGUUUUCUUCACUCCACAUGGUGUAUUUGAUGUCUCCAUUGCAUUUGAAGGCUUCUAUAAAUUUGAAGAAUCACUUUGCUCCUUGGAUUUGUUAAAUUUGGAAAAAAUCUUCAAACCCAUCAUAAUUAAACCUCAUUAGAUUUUUUUUUUUUCUCUUUUUUUUUUGACACCAAGACUACUUGUAAUUCUACUACUACUAGCUAAAUAGAAAAAUAUAGUCUUUAUAGUUUCUUCUUACUAAACUCUAUUUUAGAUUGCAUGUCCGCUACUAGCAAUCUAUUUUCUAUUUUUUCCUAAAAUUCUAAUAUUAACUCAUAAAAUUUAUAUUUAAAGCACAAUAAGCGUACUUUUUAUAUUAAAUAUCAAAGUAAGUGAAUUCAAUGGCUCAUAAUCAUCUAUUGGAAAUGAAUGGCAAGUGGAUAGAUAAGACAUAAACCAUCUCUAUACCUCAUAUUGAAUUGCAAUUGGCAUUCUUUAUAAGAGCUCACAAAUUCCUUCACAUCUUUGUUUAAAUCCUUCCACCAAUAGAAUUCCUUGAUCUUAGUAUAGAUAGUCCAAACUCCUCUAUGUCUAGCCUACAAUGUAUUGUGAAACUCACCUAAUACCUUAUGUUUGAUCUCCAAAUUAUCCACCACUCUCAAUGUCACACCAUCUCUCUUCUUUGGCCUCUUCUAUAAGAAUCUACCAUGUAAGAGAUAUUUGUAGGAUUAGUAUCUAAUAUUAUUAAAGGUCUUAUCUAAUCAAUCUACUUAACUCCUAAUUGUACUCAAAUACAAGCCAAUGUCUCUCAAAUUUUCUUCAUAUAAAUAAAUUUUGAAAGAUAUGACCUCAUCACCUUGAUUUCUUGUACUUCUAAAAAAUGCAAAAUUUUGGGCCAAGUCUCCAUUUUCUUCUUAUUCAAGAUUUUUUUUUUUUCCCUAGAGUACUUAGCCUUAAACAACAUAUUUGCCAUUGAAUUCUUUUUAUCCAUGACGUGCAUCAAAAUAAGAUUUAAAGAUUUAAUGAAAGUAAUCUAUUUAAGUAUAGCAAUAUCUAAUGUAGUAUAGUAGGAAAUCAUUCCAAGCAAAGGCAAGCAAUUAGUUUCCAACACCACAUAAGUACCUAUUAAGUAAUUUUUUUCUCAACCUUCAAUGCAAUUAGUUCAUCUCAAAGGUUUUUUUUUACUUGUAGAUAAGUACUUUGCCUUUUAGUGAAAAUCUUUAUUCCAAACCUAAUUAAAAAUAAAUUAUCUUUCUUUUUAUUUUAUCCAAUAGCCUAUUCAAUGGCUAUGGGACUUGUAUCAAUUGUUACUAUCAUUAAUCUUCUACAAAGAUGAAGGCAUAUAUCCUUCAUAAAUGUACGACAUCUAUUUUCUUUUAAAGUCAAAUUCUUACUUUCUUCUUUGUAAUCUUUAAUUGAAACAUUAUCUAAAAAAGAUAUGGUCUUUUUUAGCACAAACUCCUUUAAAAUUUGGUUCAUUAUAUUUUGCUUAUGAGUCAUUAAACUAGUUGCACCUUAUAGUAAGGUACACAUCUGUAUUAGAUUCAAAAGAAUCUUCAUAGAAAUUUGGUUCCUAUUUUCCUUUGCUUAUUCAAAUUGAUCAUAAUCCAAUUAUAAAUUUCUACUAGAAUAAAUAGCAUGUCUUAAAAAAAAAAUCUUACUUUAUCUACCACAGAUCUAGACUUUAUAUUACUAAUAAUUACCUUGUUGGCUAGUUGCAUAUCUUGAAUGAACCUAAGCGCCUCAAAUUGCUUUGGCAUAGUAAAUCAUUGAUUGGAAUAAGGUACAAUAGAUGAUUUAAAGAUGCCCAUCUUGGCCUUUUCCUUUAAUAAAUCUACCAACUUGAAAAGCAAAGUCUUUGGCAUGGAAAUAGGUUUUAUUUUGAUGUGCUCUUUGGUAUUUUGAAGUAGUUAAGUUGUUAUAGGCUUCACCUUCUUGACCAUGGUAUUAUACUUAGUGUACUCUAUAGCAUCUUGUAAUAUCACAUAACUAUCAAUUAUUCCAAGCUUCAUUGAAGAUUUCAAAACCUCCUCAUAUAUUUAUCUUGAGUGAAGCUCCACAACAACAUUAGUUCUACUUUUAUCCAUAUGCAAAGCCAAUUCCUUUGAAAUCUUUACAUAAUCAUCUUCAAGCAUUUUUUCUUUGAUAAUACAUGUAUGAGCUCUCAAUUAUACUCCAACCUUUAAAUUUUUGUUAUUUCCUUCUUUUAUGAUAAUUGAGCAUGUUAGAUUAGGAUUUAUAUAAGAGAAUUUAGUUUUAUAGAAUUUUUAGAAUUGUAACCUUUGAUGGUAUAAAUCAUAGCCUAAUUCCUUCGGUUAAGCUAAUUUGGACCAAAGUAAUAAGAAUUAAAAAAUUAGAGUAGCAAUUUAAUUAGUUUUAAUAAUUUAGAAGUUAUUUUUAAUUACUAUGAGGAUUAAAUAAGAGCCUAUGAAUUCACCUAGAAUCAUUUCAUAUUAUUUAGAGUGAACUAGAAUUAGAAUGUUUUAAAAGAUCUAGUGAAAUUUAAUAAUAAAAAAUUUGAAGAUUUUCUCCAAAUUCAAUAAAUUCAAGUAGUGAAGUAGUUCUUCUAAUUAAUAGAAGCCGUUCAAAUGCAAUGACAACAUUGGAUUUACCUUGUGAAGUAAAGAAAACAAGAUUAGUACCCUCUCCUUCAAAAUACAAGUGGAGUAAUGAAAUUCUCAUUUUUGAAGAAUUUUACAAGAAUUAUCAAAAUCCUUCUAGGUAAAAACCUUCAUAAAAUUAUAAAGAAGCAUAGAAUGAGGUAUGUGAGUAGUUGAUCUUAGCAUAAAAAGAUUUUUUGAACACAAUGGUGAAGUUAGAUUUACCAAAAAAUACUUUUUUGACCACUUAUAAGAAUUAUCAGCUUUGAUAACGAAAUUAGCUUUUCGAUGUAUAAAGGCCAUAGAUCUACAUUAGGGAUCUUAAAAAUCAAGGGUGGAGGUGUGGCCGCCCUUCCACAAGCCACCACUAAAUUAUAUAAGAAUGGCUUGGUUUUCCAAGCCCUCUCUCUCUCCUCUUUGGUGAAAAGCGAAGCCAUGCUAAAUUCUAGCCUUAAAUUCUAAUCUUAAUUUUAUUUUUUUAGUGUCAAUGUGAAAUUUUUUUUAUGUAUCUUUUGGUGCUAGCUUUCUAAUAAGAUAAGAUUUGUUUGAUUCGGAAAAAGAACGAAUUAUUGGAGAAAUUUUGAGUACGAGGGAAUCACUUGCCUUGGCAAUUUAGAUCAAUCCGUUUUGAAAAGAUAUUUCUCAAUUCUUCAUUAUUAUAUUAUGUUGAAUUUUCGGAAAUAAGUGUAUCUUUAAGCUGAGCUUCUAAUGGCUCAAAUUACUUUAAAUUUGAAGACAAAUUGAAUUUUUGAUGAAUUUCCAAGUGGAAGGAGGUUGCUUGCUACUACAGUCUUGGUCACUCAACUUUCAAGGAGCCUUUCUCGCAAUUCAGAUACUGGAUUGAAUUGAAAUUUAUUAGAGAAGUGGCACCUUUAAGUGAAACUUGCAACAAACUAAAAAUCAUUCACUUUGGAGAUAAUUACAAUCUUUGAAAAACUUUGGAGUGGAAGGAGAUUUGCUGCCUUUAAUUCUUAGGCAUUAUCAAGAUACCUUUGCUUUUAUCUCUCUUUAGUUCUAUUUUUAUUUUUAUUCUUUCACUAACUCAUAACUUUUAUAUUUUUAUUUUUUCUUUUAAUUUUUAAUCUUUAACACUUAACCUUUAAUUUCUUCUCUUUUACUUUUAAAUUUUAUUUUUAACUUAACCUUUAAGAUUUUAUUUUUAUUAUAAAUUAAUGGUAAUAACUUGAUUAAUAAUUUUUACCAUAAAUUAUUUAAGAAAUAAUUGUUUAUAAGUCUCAAAUAAUUAAAUAAUUAUUUAUUAUAAUUAAUUAUAAUUUUAUUAUUACAUAAAACUUAAUAAUUAAAUAAGAACCAUAUAAAUAAUUUAAAAAAAAAUCAAUAAAAUUUAAAUAGAGAUCAUAUAAAUAGCCUUAAAAGACCAUAGUAAAUUUUAUUAAAUCUUUUUAUUAAUAUUGGUAACUAUUGCUUGGAGGACUUAAAAUUAAUUAAAUUACAAAUACCAAGAUUUAAAUUAACUUAGCAAUUACUUAAUUAAAAAUUCUUCCAUUCCACCUCCUAAAUCUGUUGUAUAGCAUUAAUAUCAUUGAGUGGUGAAAUUUGGGCUCAUAACUUGAAAUACACUCACCACUUAAAAUCACAUCUAAUUAUAGAUAUAUAUAUAUAUAUAUAUAUAUAUAUAUAUUUCUUUAUCCAAUACUUAUAUAUAUGACCUAAAUUUUUUAUCUUUUGAAAUCUCAAAAUUCUCAAAGUUGUCAAAUCCAAAAAUCCACACUCAAAGCUAUUCACAUUUGAAAGUAUAUGUAUAAAGGAUUUACCUACGCCCUUCUAUCUUCUUACUAUAAGAAUGUUCCUUAAUAAUCCAAAAAUUCUUCAUUGGUCCUCAAAAGAGCUUCUUUUAAUUGGUUUCUAUUUUGUUCAUUAUCUCAUUUCAUCUUGAAGAAUUGCAUCAACCUUUUUUCAUUAUAGUUUCUAAUCCUUGCAUAGUGAAAGCCAUCAUUUAAAACCUUUGUUUCCAUCCUUGUAGCCAUGAUAUAAAGUUGCCAUAAAAUCAUUGGAUAAGUAGUAGACUUUUGCACAAAGAAAUUUUAUUCUACCCCCAUAUUUCUAAUCCUUGUCCUAAUUCUUAGACAUCUCCUAUAUAAAUUACCUCACUUAUUGUUGGCGGCUCUAAAUACCCAUCUAUAGUUAAUAUCAAUGGGCUACUUGUCUAUCUCAUAAAUCCUCCUUGACAUGAUUUUGAUCUCUGAUCCAUGAUCAAUAAGUAUCAAAGUAUGCUUUUUGAAGUCUCAUAGCUUCACUUGAGCCUCUAUAGUAGUCCUAGUCCAAAAAAAAUGUGUAAAUUAAGCAUUCAUCAUCUCACCCUCAAAUUUCUUGUCAAAAGCACAAUUAAAUACAUUUAUCUCACUUAUGAUGAUUCUAUUUUCUAUCUCUUUACUACUUCUUGUCUUUUUUUGAUCUUCUCCUCUACCAUGGCCUUGAAUAGCUACAUCUUUUUUUAUUUUAAGUGGCAUCUCCUCAAAUCUAAAUACACAAAGUCAAAAAAAAGACCUACCUUAUCUUUUGGUUCUCUUCUUUAGCUAAAUAAGAAUCCAAUGCCUUCACCAUAACCACCUCCAUUGUCAUUUGCUUCUUUUUUUUUAAUGAAAUCAAUAAUAAGCCCAUAGAAGUCUAUUUUUGCUAUGCUAAGUACUUUCUACGAAGUAAAUUCAAUUUUUUCAUCAAAAAUAUUUUCUUCCAAAAUUUCCCUCAUAUUAAUAGAACUUUCAAUAUCCAAUUAAAAAUUUUAAGAAGGACCCUUAUCGUUAGGCUUGUUUGAGUUUUUUUUUUUUUUUUUUUAAUCCUUUAUUCUAUUUUUUGAGCUCUAACUCCACUCCUUGAUUGAAAUGGAGGCAUUAGUUGAGCUUGUCGAUAAGAAGGUCCUUCUCUUUGUUGAUUAGAUUCUAUAAACUUUAAUGGCCACUUUUUGUUGGAAAACUCUUUCACAUGUUCUUGAGAGGAUCUAAUCUUUUUUAUUUCUACAAUGAUAUCUUAAUCCUCUAAAUCUUUAUUGCCAUUUAAAAAGGCUUAGAUGCUAAUAGCAUUAACUAGAUUAUUUCAAUUUAUUGCUCUCCUAAUAGAUUCUGCUACUAUCAUGUUGUGGUUUGGCUACCAUAUGAAAAUAAUGUAAUUAUGUACUUAAUAUAUAAUUUAUUAAGUAACAUGAUAAUAGCCAUGUUAAUAGAUUUUAGUUGGUUGUAGAAUAUAAUUUGAUUAUUACCUUAAGAAGAGGUUGUUUAAAAAGAUUAGUAUAGAAUUUAUAUAACUUUAAUUUCCUUUUUGAUAGUGGGUUUUAAGAUUGGUUUUGGUCGAUAAUAACUUCUUAAUAUUUAGGAUCAUCUUAAUUAGACAUUGGUGACCUUUGAAAACUUAUUUUGGUUCUUUAAUUUAGUGUUUAGAGUAUAAAUUAUAUAAAUCUUAUAAGAAAAAUAGUUGAAGAAGAGUUUUAGUAGCAAAGAGAGUAAUUAGGGAACCAAUAUAGAUGAAUGGAGAUGGAUGAUAAAAAUCUCCAUUCCUAUUCGUCAAAAAUCAUGACCAAUAGGCUUUGAGGAGGUUGCUUGAAGCCAUAUUAGAGAUUAGGGUUAGUUUUUCGAGAUCAUUCGAACUUUGAAGGCUAGGGUCAGUAAUUUUAGGUUUUUGACUAUGGUUUUGGUACAAAUUUUGUAUGGUUUGGAGUUUAUAUGAAGGAGAUAUAGGCACUCAAGGUUAAGGUGUUGAUUUGAGAGCUACUGUUACUCUAUUUGGCAUAACACAUGUGUACAAAGAGCAAUUGAAGAUCGGCAAUUGUGACUAAAGAAAAUACUUUUGCGGCUAAAUAUUUUGUAAAUUUCUUGCUGGAUUCCAAGUUGAAGUGAAGGAGUCAUUGGAUUUUGAAGUCAGCACAUGCAAUCUAAUGGUAGUAAGUAAACUGAUUUACUAGUGGUUGUACCUUGAGCUAUAUCUUAAGCAAUUUUUAUAAGGUUUUAGCUCAAAAUUUUAGGGAAUAUUUAUAUUCAUGUUAGUAAAAUUUAUACGAAAUUUUAAUAAUAUUUGAGUAUUGGAUUCUUGAGAUAUUAAGAAAAUAGUGCUUAGGUGCUUGUAAAUUAGGAUUUAGAGCAUCUACUAGAGUUUCUUAGAUGCCAAAAGAUCAAAAGUGCAUUUACAAUUGGUUUUUUUUUGUGGUAAAAGUUAAAGGUGAAUUCUACCUAUUCCAUAAAUUUGAGACAAAUUAAAUAGAUAGAUGAAGAGUUAUGAAUUUCUAAAACUCAAGAAGAGUAAAUCCUUCACGAAAAAAAUAUAUUUUGAAGGAAUUUUGUUAUAUUUUGAGUUUUAUGAAAAUUAAAGGAGUUUUGGAAGCUAAGACAAGAUUCAUAUAAAGGUUUAAGCUAAACUCUCUACAGCUAGAUACUCAGUGUAUUUCUAGAUAGCAAAUCAUACUAUACGAUAGUACUCUAACCAUAGUCUCUCUUGAUGGCCUUAAAAUAGCUACCAUGUCCCUGAUUUCUACUUCAAUGAAAUAAAAGUAGGCCUCUUUCACAUGCAAUCCACUUAUUCUCUCUAUAAAGUCCACUACAAGCUCCUUCAUAUCUCUUCUUUUAAGAUAGAGCUCCAAAGGUUGCUUCAUAGUAUGAGAUCUCACUCUACUUUUUGGGAUGAUAAUUUCUUAUUUUAAGUCUUCAUUAUAAUUGGAACAAUCUUUCUUUUUAUAUUUGGACUUAUCACAAUAUAUGCAUCUCAUAAUAAAUCUCUUUGAUUCCUCUAAUGCAUGCAAAGAUGUAAUUAUUUGGCUCUUCUUAAACUCACUCAUUUUUACUCUCAAUUCUCUCAUAUCUUUAAUCAACUCUUCAAAGAUGUCUUUGAAAAGAAUCUUACAUGUUUUUUUAAAUUGGAAUAGAUGUCACCAUGCUUAAUGGAAUACUUGACAUCAUGGAUAGUAGAACUUAAUGCCUCAAAGUUCGUCCUCUUACCUUAAUCUAUCAUUACUUAAUUACUAAUAGCACCACAUCCUCUACUUUCCUCUAAUCAUUAAUUAAACUUCUUUUGAUGGACUUAUUAAUGAAGAUUAAAAAAAUAUAUAUAUAUCCUCUAGUGCUUCAUCUCCAUCUUCUAAGAAAAGCUUAAUCUUCCUUGUAUUCAAUAAAAGUCUCUUUGAAGAUGAAAGUUGAGAAUUUUUUUUAUUUUUCAAACUAUAGCUUCAUAAUUUAAAGUUAAAUCUAUUAUUUUUUUACAAAAAUAUAUAUUUCUUUAUUAUAUUUAUAGAAUAGAAAUCUUUAAAUCUUUAUAUAUUUAUAAAUCUAUUAUUAAUUAAGUUUAAAAAUCUAAAAAUUAUAUUUUUUAUAUUAGAAUUUAUAAAUAAUUCAUUUGUAGUUAUGUAUUUCCAUCCUAAAAAGAUGCUUUCUAGAAAUCUACAAAAAAAAAAAAUUAGCUCCAAAGGCAUUCUUCUUAAUUAUUUUCUAUGCUUUUCAUCAAUAUAUUUUAUAAUAAUAAUUGUAGAGCUUUUCUUCUAUUUUAAUUAUAAAUCCUUACAUAAUGUGAACCAUCAUCCAAGUCUCUAAUCUCUAUUCUAGUACUUAUAAUAUAUUAAAAAUAAAACUCAAAUUAUAGAGGUUAGAUACCAUAAAUGAAGAAUUCAUAUCUUUGGAUUAUAGUGUACAAAUUGUAGUCAAAUAAACUACACUAUCUAAUUUUGUCUAUGAUUUUUACAACAAACACCUAUAUAACAGAAUCAAUUCCAACCUUAUAGACCUCUUCACCAUUUAAGACAAAUAGGUCUUAGUUUUUCUUUCAAUCAAAAGAAUAAUAUUACACCUUGUCCUAUUUGUAAAAAACUAUAUUGAAUAGGCUACUAUUGGAUUGAAAAUGGAAUUAUAUGCUCAAAUUUUAGAGGAUCUCAUCCUACAAAUUAUUAUAGAAGACCUGAUAAGGUCAUUCCUUUAACUUUUCUUUCAAAAGAUUAUAGCAAUUAAGCUAGAAGAAAUACACAAAGAGUUAGAUUUACAGAUUCUAUUGUUACAAAUGGUUUAUCAAAUCUAUAUUAUGAUCAUUUAAAUAAUAGUAAAAUUCAUCAAUCUCUAAUAACAAUCAAAAUCAAUCAAGGAUUGAUGCAAAAUUCUUUAUCAUAUAAGCAAAAUCAAAAUCAACAACUACCAUCUUCUCAAGAUAUUAGGUAUAUAGUAGCUCAAAUUGAUAUGCUUACUACACCAAAUCUAUCACUUCUUCAAUCCAACUUGGUAUAAUUAGAUAGAAAGAAGGUCUCUUUAAACAAUAGUUAUUCACUUUCUUUGGUUGUAAUAAGAAGUAUGAGUGCCAAAAAAUCAAUAGAUUUAGCACACCUCAAAGAAGAUGAAAUAUCUUUGGAUAUUUCAAAAGAAUCACUUAAGUUUGUAAAAUUGACAAAAACUACUUAAGAGAUAACUAAAAAAUUAGAACAAGGAUUUUUAAGCCCUACUUUACUUUUGGAUUCUUUGACAAUUGCACAACAACCAUAAUUUUUAGCCAUUUUAAACUCCAAGUUUUGGUUCGAAUAGAGAAAACACCAUUAAAUACAAAAGUUAAUCAAAUUAGUUUUAUUCAAUCCAAUUCAAUUCUAUCUAUUGCACCAAUAAAAUAUAUUGGUCUUAGAUUAUAUAAAUAUGAAGAUGAUGAGAAUUUUACAAAAUUACUGGAAGAAAAUCCUUAUAAAGAAGAAGAUAUCCACAUUCAAUUUAAAGAAGUAAUUAAUUGAUUAGAACUUAAAGAUGACUGUCUAGACCUAGCAACCUUAAUUAAUGAUAUUUAUAUAAAAAAUCUUUUAGCUUGAAAAUUGAUGGAAUACAAGUAGAUGAUUUAGAUACUAUUAUAAAAGAAAAAACCAUCAUACUUCUUUUCUUACAAUUCAAAUAUACUUCUCAAGACAUUGAAGCUGGAUAUGAUAUAUUGACUUACUCAUCAAUACUUAAAGAUUGGUACCAUGGACCUACUAAUCCUAUAUAUAUGAUAAAAUAAAUUUGGAUAAAAAUUUUAAUCAAUCAUAAAAACGAAUUCAAAUAUGUCAAGUUUGGAUCUCAAUUAGAUGAAGAAGAUCUUGAGAAAUAUAAAGCUUUAAUAAUAGAAUAACAUAAUAUCUUUACAUGGUCUUAUAAAGACUUAAAAGAUAUUUCUCUUAACAUUUGUCAACACACUAUCCCACUUCUUUUAAAUGCAAAAUUGGUUAAACAAAAAUAUAAAAGAUUCAAUCCUAGGAUGUAAUUUAUUUUAAAAAUAGAAUUAAAAAGGUUACUUCAAACAAGAUUUAUAAAGUCUAUAGAAAUUAUGGAUUGAUUGUCAUAUAUUGUCUUCAUACAAAAAAAAAAUUAAAAAAAUAAGCUCAAGGUGUUUAUGGAUUAUUGAAAUUCAAAUAAGUACACUUAAAAAGAUCAUUUUCCAUUAUCUUUUAUUACUUCUAUAGUAGAUGAUGUGACAAGUCAUGACCUCUAUAGUUUUAUGGAUGGCUACUUGUGAGUACAAUUCAUAAUUCUAAUAGUUAAUCAUAAUUACUAUUAUAAUUUUUAAUAUAUUUUUACUAAUUUUAAUACUAAAAUAAUUAAUUUAUAGAUCCAAAUUAGUUUUUUUAGUUAAUUAUGAUUUAAUUUAUAGUUUUAGGUUUUUAAUUAGAUAGAUACUUUUAACUAUUAGAUUGAGUGAUUGUUAAAAACUCUAAAAUAGUAAGUUUAGAAGGUCUAUGAUUUAUUUUUAUUGAUUUGGUUUAAAUCCUCUUUUUUUAUUAAAAUUAAGAUUUUAAUAGAAUUUUUCUUUUAAAUCCUAGAUAUUAUAUCUUCAACUAAUUCACAAUCUUAGUUAUCAACUCCAAGGCUAAUUUAUAAUUUGAAAAUGGUUAGAAAAUCUCUUAAGUCUAAUUUUUCAAUCUUCCUAUUUAAUUUUUAAGAUUUUUUAAGAUUAAAUUUCAUACCACAAUUUAAAUGGAUUAAAAACAUAAAGUCUAAUUGUUAAAAUAAUGAUGAUUUCUAGAAAAUAGAGAUGAGCUAAUUUUUAUGGUGGAUUUUCCUUUCAUAGUUAUUUUUAUCACUAUUUGGAGUUGAAGAAUGGAGAAAAAAAUAAAUAAAUCAAAAAAUCAAAAGUAUAUCAAUUCAAGGCCAAAUUGAAAUUAGGGGUUGUAAUUGGCUAAGAGUUUGUACUUAAGGGAGUUUAAAUUGAAGAAUGGUGAUCAUGAAGGCUUUGAUGGAAAGAAUCCUUACUGAUCUCUUAAUUAGGAUAAUUAGAAUUAGAAUUCUAGUUAAAAUUGAUAACUAGAUUAGCAAAUUAAUUAGUUUUAAUGAUUUAGAGCUUAGAUUUGGACUUGUGAAUAAUCGAUCUUGGAAUAAAAAUGUGUUUUGGACAUAGUGGUGGAAUUAAUUUUGCCAAAAAGGCCUUAUUUUUUGAGAUAUAGGCAUUUCUAGACCUGAAAUCAGAUUUAGGCUUAAGAUCACUAUGGACCCUUGAACUUGGUUAGGGAUUUUUGAUCUAGAUGGUGGAAAUGUGUUCGCCACUUUUGGGCCUCCUGCUAAUUGGUUAAGAGCUCUUAGGUGGAUGAGCUCUCUUUCUCUCUCUCCAUUUUUUUUCUUAUGACGAAGCUAUGGCAAAAAUAUUUCUCUAUUUUGUGAAUGCAAAUCUUAUCCCUUGAUCUUGUAUUGCCUCGAUUUUUUUUCUCAAUCUAUCUAUUUUAGUUUUCUUCUUAUGAAAUUUUGUAGGGAAAUUCUACUCACUCUUAGCUUUGUAAUGGCAUAAGAUACACUUGAUUUGGAGGUAUGACGGAUUUUUAGAAAUUGUUUUAACUGGUGGGGGUCUACUACCCUCGGCAACAUAAAAGCAUUGAGUUCAAAAAUCCAUAACCUAGUGAUUCUUACCUCAAAUUUGACAUGAAUUAUUAAAAUGAGUGUUCUUUGAAGUCUUCUUUCUUAUAAAGUUUGAAUCACUAACUUUCGAGCUAUAAUAAAUUUGUAAUGAACUAUUAAGUGAGAAGAGUUUUGUUGCCUUGGCAAUUAGAACAAUUGUCUUUGAAAAAUCAUACCUCAAUAUUUACUUAUGUCUUUGUACUGAAUUUUAUUGAAAAAGAAGUACUAUAAAAUAUAGUUUUAGGAAAAAAUAGAGUUGUGAACUUUGAAUGAAUAACCAAUCUCUAGUAAACUUUUAAUUAAAAAGGGGUCUGCUACUUAGCCAAUUCAAGUUCUAUUAUUUUGAAAAGUCAUAUCUCAAUCGUUAAGCAUUGGAUCACCAAAAAAUUUAGAAGAUAGAAACAAUCCUAAGUCGAUUUCAAGUACAAAAUUUUAAAGUAUAUAAGAACUAUGGAAGAAUUUUGGUGAAUUUUUAAACAACAAGGGAUCUGUUACCUCAACUCUACAUACUCUAAGUAAGUUUUUCUUUCCUAAUCACCUACUAAUCACAUUGUUUAGCACCUAAAUUAUUAUAUUAUCAUUUAUUCAUCUUAUUAUCAUUAAUUAUUAUUAUUUAAUAAUUUUAAAGAAUUUUUUACUUCACUCUAGAAAUUAAUCUUAAAUUCCUAUCUUUCCAUCCAUUUUCAUCUUUUAAGGAUUAAAAAAAUAUAAAAAAAUAUAAAAAUUAAUCUGAUCUUUUAAUUUUCUCUUUUCUUUUUAAUCUUAAUCUUUCUACUUUUACUUUUAAUCUUCAAUUUUUCUUCCAUUACUUUUAAAAUUUUCACUUAACUUUUAGUUAUUAAUCUUAAUUUUAUUUUUUUUUUAUUUUAAUUUUUAAUUUUGUAAUCUUCCAACUUUUAUUUUUAUCUUAAAAAUCUUAAUUUCAUUUUAGUGCUGAAUUUAAAUAUUUAGUGCUAUUUAAUACAAGAUUUUUAAUUUUGGAUGAAGUCUGAUUAUCAAAAUUUUAUCCAUGGAUAACUUCCUAUAUAUAUAUCUCUAGUUUACAUGGUUUAAUAUCUUUAUAAAAAGUCCUAGAUUAAUACUUUAGUGUGGUGUUAAUUUUUUUUUCCUCUAUUUCUUUAAUACUUAUUCGUAAUUUUUAGAGUUUAAGUUUGAUGGAAUAAGUCUUGAAAGAUACUUAACUAAAUGAACUACAAACGCUAAAAAUUAAAUCAUAAAAAUGUGUAACUAACUUAUUUGUAUUGCUAGAUUAAUUUUGAUUAUUAUAUCAUUUUAUUUUUUCUAUCUUAUAUAUGAUUUGCAUCUCCACAUCAAUUAAUAUUGGAUUCUAAUCUAAGUUUUAAUCUUAUUAAAUCAAAUUUAAGUAAGGGGAGAAAAAACCACUCAUACUACUCUAGUUACAAUUAAGUAUCAAUAUCUCCUGAAGAUUGGCAUAAGAUUGCAUUUACAUCACUUUGGAGAACCUUUGUAUAUAAAAUAAUGUCUUUUAGCUUAUGUAAUGCUCCUUCAACUUUUCAAAGAGUCAUGACAUAUGUAUUCUCAGAUCUUCUUCAAAAAACUACAUCAAUUUUUAUUGAUGAAUUUAGUUGUCAUCUUUAGAAAAUGAUCACCUUAAAAGUCUUCAAUUAUAUUUCCAACAUUAUAAAAGAGAAGGAAUUUUUUUCAACUUGGAGAAGGUUUAUUUGGCAAUUAAAAAAAGAAUUUUAUUAGAUUAUGUCAUUUUUGAGAAAGAAAAAGAACUUGAUCCUGAAAAAGUAGAAGUUAUUGCAAAUCUACCUCCUCCAAAUGGAAUAAAAGACAUUCAAAAGAUUUUACGACAUAUGGGUUGGUAUUGUAAUUUGAUUAAAUAAUAUUCUACUCAUGCCUCUCUUUUGACUAAUUAUUUGAAGAAAAUCACUAAAUUUAAAUAAAAUUUUAAAUAUCAAGCAGAUUUUGAUACAAUUAAAGCUAAAUUACUUUGAUACUCUUAUUUACUACCACCUAAUUGGGAUCAACCUUUCUAUGUCUAUUGUGACGCCUUUGAAUUGACAAUAGGUAGUGCCUUAUGUCAACCAAAUGAUAAGGGUGUGACUCAUCCUAUUGCUUUUGCUAGAAAAAAAUUAACAAGUGCUGAGCAUAGCUAUACAACUACGGAAUGAGAAUAUUUGGCUAUGGUCUUUAGUGUCAAAAAAUUCUGCCAUUAUCUUUUGAUGAAUGAAGUUAUUUUCUUUAUAGAUCACAUGGCUCUUAGAUAUAUUGUGAACAAAUCAAAUUUAAGUAGUAAUAGAUUAGCAAGUUAGAUAUUACUUUAAUCAAAAUUUGAUUAUACAAUACAAUAUAAAUUGAGAAAAGAAUACAAACAAGGUGAUCACCUUUCACAAUUAUCUACAACUACAAGAACCCAAGAUAUAGAUGAUGAAUUUUUUGAUACUUAAUUAUUACAUAUUAUGUUGGCACCUACAUGGUAUGAAUAUAUUGCUGAAUUUUUGAGUAUUCAACAACUAUCCAAAACCUUAUAAAAAAAUGAAUGAGAAAAGAUUAGAGUAAAUAGUACCCGUUUAACUCUUAUAGCUAAGAAAUUAUAUUGUGGAAGGAUUGAUGGAAUUUUAAGACGUUGUCUUACUUAUGAAGAAGUACUAUUAGUAUUAGAAGCUCGUUAUUUAAAUGCUUGUAGUGGAUACUUUUUUGAUCAAUUAAUAGCUUAAAAAAUCCUUAAAAUAAGCUAUUUUUGAUCUAAAAUAUUUGUCAAUUCAAAGUCUUUUGUAAGAUCUUGUAAUGCUUGCCAAAAAUAUACAUACAAUGAUUUAAAUCUUAUAAUGCCUUUAAAUUUGUUACUUCUACUUAUUCCAUUUGAAAAAUAGAAUAUAGACUAUAUUGGACCUAUCUAUCUUAUUUCUUCACAUAAAAUAUAAUAUAUUAUUAUAGCUAUAGAAUAUUUGACCAAAUGGACAAAAGUAAAAGCUGUGAAGAAGAUAGAUGCUACAAAAGUUGUUAUCUUUUUGUAUGAGAAUAUCAUAGCUUGUUUUGAUUGUUCAAAAAUUCUUAGGAGUGACAAUAGUAUUUAUUUUUUAAAUGAGGCUAUCAAAGAAAUGACCAUAUUGUUUACCAUCAAUCAUAAAAAGACUAUUCUUUAUCAUCCUCAAACAAAUGGUCUUAUAGAAAGAGUCAACCAAACCUUAGUUUGGAUAUUAAAGAAAACUAUGAUGGAUUCUAAGCGUGAUUGGGAUCUUAAACUUAUUUCAAUACUUUGGGCUUAUUGAACUAUUUAUAAGGUUUCUAUAAGAGCUACACCUUUUUCUUUGAUAUAUGGAAUAGAAGUCAUUUUGCCUAUAAAAUUUGAAGUCCCAUCUUUACAUAUUACUAUUGAUCAAAGAUUAGAUACUUCUCAAUCUUUGAAAGAAUGAUUAGAAUAUUUAAAAAGACUUAGUGAGAUUCAAAGAUUUGUAGCUCAAUACAUAAAAACUAUUUAAAAAAGAAAGAAGGAGAUCUUUGAUAAAAUAAAAAUUAAAAAAAAACGUCUUUUUAUCCUAAGGAUAUUAGUGAUGGUUUAAGAUGCUAGAAAAUUAGAAUUUUUAGCCAAAUUUGAUGCACUUUAGACUGGACCUUACAUUAUCAAAGAAAUCUUUGAUAAUAAUUCAAUCCAAUUCAAAACAUUAAAUGGAAAAGACUUUCUUACAGAAACUAAAGGAAGUUAUUGUAAAGAAUAUAAAGAGUAAUGAAGAGUAUAAUUGUAUAGUUCUUAGUAAUUUUCUUCUUAUAUUUUACUUCUAUUAGUUAGUGGUGUCUAUUUCUAUAUCUUUUAUAGUUUUUAUUUUUUCCAUGGACCAUUGUUGUAUGGCAUGAGUUUCUAUUUGAAAAUAUAUUGAGUACCUAGCUCAAGAGAAUUUAGCUUUAAUUUAUUGCCUAUAAUAAGUGAUUUAUUUUUAUUAUAGAGAAAAAAAAUAUAAUAGUAUUAAUAGAUAUUUUAUUAAUAAAAUCUUUUUAUAUUUAAGAAGCUUUAUACAUAAGGCUUUUUAAAGCAUCUAAAAAUGGUCUAACAUCCUUUAUUAUAUCAAAUCAUAAGUAAUUAUUUGCCAAUAAGUUUGAUUUUUUGUAAGUUCAAAGAAAACCUACAAUCUUCUUACAAAUAUCCAUCUUUAUAUCAUAAUUUUGCCAUAGCUCCAUAUCUCCAUCUUUAACAUAUAUAUAAAUUCUUGUCUCUAAAAAAUCCUCUUAUUUUACAUAAAAUAUUCAAAUUAUAGUAAAAUCCUUUUAAACUAUUUUUCUCUUGAAAGAGAUUUUUUUUCUCCAAACUUUAGAAAUUCAUAUCUCUUGAUCCAACAAUUCAAUUUUUCUUAAAUUCUUACAUAAUGUAGACUUUAUCUUUAAGCUUUAUCAAAAAAAAAAACUAUAAAUCUACUACAAACUAUUUGGUAUCUUAGAAAUCCUAGCAAAUGCUUUAAACCUUAAUUUACAAGCAUUCAAAUAUUACUUACUCUAUAUUUCAAAAUCUAAACUUCAAAUGCUACAAAAUUUGAAUUCAAAUUUUAUUAAUAUAAUAAUACAUAUUUUUGGAAUUUUUUUAUCUAAAUUGCUCAAGAUUAUUGAAAUCAGCAAGUACUUGCUUAUUUAAAACCACAUAGAGAUUAAGCAUAGUAUGUUGUUAAUAGUCAAAAGGCAUGAAAGAAUUAAAAAAAAGUUACUAUGUAGGACUUAGGGUUUGUACGUGAUUGCUAGAUUAAAAAAGAACUUAAGAUUUAGUUGGAUGAAGUAAAAAUGGCUGUAAUAUCAAAAAGAUGGAAGUUUCUUCAUUAGUUAGCAACCACCACCUAUAAGUAAAGGGUGUUGGAAGUAAGAGUCAUCUUUCUCUACACUUCUCUUUAUAUGCAAGCCUUGCUGAUGCUAAGUAUUUGUAGCUUUUAGACUUCUUUUCUUCAAUAGGUUAUGGGGCCAUACAUAUUUGCUUGAGUGUUUUGAAGUUUUUUGAAGUGGUUGUUGAUAUGUGGAAUAGAUCAAGUUGUUGUUGCUGAUGUUAGGAUUUAGAAGUACCUAACUUUCAAAUUCAAAUCUAGAUCUAGAUCUUAGUUUGCUUUUACUUGUGGUUAGGAGCAUUUUGGUGUUGGUGUUUGGUUUUUCACCUUAAGGCUAAGUUAUAGAACAAUUUCAUUGUCUUUUUGCUGAAAUAGAUCCUUGGUGGUGUAACUUUGUAGUUUCAUGUCCUAAAGAUGCUAAUUAUGCUUAAAAGGCCACUUAUGGUAUAAAAGUGAUUUGUGAGCAUAAGAGUGAUAUUUGGGUGGCAAAUCAGAUUUGAGACAUUUAGAUAGGUCAUUAGACUUAAGAGAAAUCUUAGAAGUGAAGUUGAGAGUAUUUUUGAGAGUAAGAACACUAGUUUGUUUACAAAGAAGGAUUCUGUGAUUCUAAGGUAGCAAUACUUUCUUGCUGAUUUUGAGAGCAUUAGGACUUCUUUUUUCAAUAUUUUUUGAUACAUCUCUCUCUUUGACAUGGAUUCAAGUGACGGUGAAGGAUUGAAAGUAAUUGAAAAGUUCAAAGGUGAUAAUUUCUACCAUUGGAAGAUAAAAAUAGAACUUUUAUUGGUAUCUUUGGAUCUUUGGAAUAUUGUAGAUGAAAGUGAAGAGGCUCCAAGCAUAGAUGCUGAUAUGAAGGAAAAGAAGGAGUUCAAGCAUCAUGAAAAGAAGGCUUUUUGAUUGAUUGUAAUUAAUGUGGAUGAAGCUAACUUCUCCCACAUUAUUUCUUAUAAAGAACCAACGGAAGCAUAUAAGACUCUUUGCAACAUCUAUGACAUCAAGAACUUAUCCAACAUCAUCUAUAUAAGGAGGAAGUUCUUCACUUGCAAGAUGGAAGAAGGUGAAGACCUCAAGGCCCAUGUCAAUAAGAUAAAGGCUCUUGCAAAUCAAUUAGCAAUUAUUGACAAGCCUUUAGAAGAAAGUGAUAUUGUCAUGACCUUGUUGAUGAGCCAUCUCAAAUCCUACAACUACUUUAUUAUAGCAUUGGAGUUCAUUAAGCUAAAAGAGCUUACAAUAGACUAUGUAAUGGAAAGACUUGUCUAUGAAGUAACUAAGAAGAAAGAAAUAGAGCCUCAAAGUGAAGAUUCAACACUCUACUCACGUCAAGGCAAGAGCAAUUAUUCAAAUCAAUAAAAAAAUAUCAAAUCUUACUUUAUUUGUAGCAAAGUAAGCUAUUUUGCUCGAAAUUACUACAAAGGCAAAAAAAUAGAGAAAGAGAAUGCAAAUAGUGUAUAAAAUGAGUUUGGAAGACAAGAUUAUGAAUUCAAAACAACAAAUAGGACCUCCAUAGCUGCCAUAUUAAGAUGGAUUGUAGAUUCAGGUUUUUCCAAGUAUAUGACACCUUAUAAAUGUAUAUUUCAUACUUAUGAGGCUAUUCCAACAUCAAAUGUGAUGUUGGGAGAUAGUAGUACAUGUGAAGCCAUUAGAAUUGGCUCUAUUAUGGUAGAGGUGGUUGUGAAUAGAUAAACUAAUAGGAUCAAAUUCAAAAACAUCUUUCAUGUGCCUAAGAUGAAGCAAAACCUAAUUUGGAUGAAUAAACUUAUAAUGAAAGGUUUUAAAGUUUAAUUUGACAUGAAUGAAUGUUUUGUAAGGAUAUUAAGUAGAGACAAGGUUUCCAAAGGCUUUAGAAAGAAAAAUUUGUACUAUCUUAUUUGUAAAAAGAUGAAUGGAGUGGACAUAGCUAUAUUUGUUGAAUUUACAUCAAACCAAGACAAGUUAAAUAUGAGGCAUUGUGGCCUUGACCAUUUAAAUGUGAAGAGCAUGAGAGAGCUCAAGUCUAUAAUAAGUAGGUUAGAUCUUGAUAAUAUAAGCUAAAAUAUAAAAUUACUUAUAUGUAAAAGAUGCAUAUAAGGCAAACAACAAAAAACCUCAUUUCCAAGUAGCAUAGUAAUACGUGCUACCAAGUUGCUGUAGAUUGCCCAUUUUGAUGUAUGUAGACCUAUGAAAAAUACAAGUAUUAGAGAAUCAAGGUAUUUUCUCACUUUCAUUGAUGAUUAUUAAAAAAAGAUUUAAAUCUACAUUCCUAAAGCUAAGAGUGAAUGCUUUUGGAAGUUUAAGGAGUUUAAAGGACUUGUUGAGAAAUAAAGUGAAUGCAAGAUCAAGGUACUGCAUAUGGAAAAUAGAGUAUAUAUAAAAAAUAAAUAUCUGUGAGUCAUCAAAUUGACUCACUUGUUGUUUUAGGAUAAAAAUAUGUAUUUAGAAUGCUUUAAAUCACAAUAUAUAGUGAGUAGUAUAGAAAUCCUUUGAGAAAUAGAAAAUUAAAAUGUUAAUGGUAGAGAUGGAGUCUUAGUAAGUCUUAGAGACAAUUAUCUUCGUUGAUUUAGUAUUUUUAUUCAUUGUUGAGUAUUAAGGAAUAUUUAUUAAGACCAAUAAUUAUAUUUUUCUUCUAUCUAUAUGUACUAUUUAUAAAAAAUAUAAAUAUUAGUUGUUAAAAGAAGCAUGAAAAAGAAUCUCAUAUCAUUUUAGUUAUUGAUAUAAAAAAUAGGAUUUAUAGGUGAUUUAAAUUGAUGUUUAUUAUUAUCAAAAAUCACAAAGGUAGGAAAAUAUAGCCUUACAUGGAUAUUAGCAUUAUAGAAAUAUUAUAGGAUUUUUCAAAUUUUAUUUAGAAUUUAUUUAUAUUUUUUUAGGAAUUUUUAGAGCAAUAUUUAAGAUCUUGGUAAAAAUAAAUUUUACCACUUCGGAAGCUAUUAUGAAGAAAGGGAGUAAGAUUUGAAGGCCACAUUAAGUUCCCAAGCUAAUUGGGUAUUUUUAAACACCAUGGUAUAGUCAAAAAUACAAAACAAUGAGUUUUACUAGUAGAAAAUAGGAGGACCAGUAGCUAGUCUAAUCCUUGUAGGAGAGAAGGUGUACAAGUUCCAUAUGGGUUGUAGCACCUUGGGUAUACGUAGGAAGAUAAGACUAAGGCCUCAAGGCCUCUUUAGACAUCUAAUAUGCACUACAUGUGAGCUUUAGUGAGGCUCGAAUCCUUGACGUGUAAACAAGUUAUCCUUGAGGUAAAAUAUUUUUACUUAACUUUUAUUUAUUUACUUGUUAUUUUUAAACCUUCAUAACUUACUCAUAGUAAAUCAAAUUUAUAUGUUUCUUACAUCAUUGGAAUGAUUAAAAAAUUAACUUCCUAAAAAUAUACUUUUUACUUUUAUUUUUUAUUAGAUAAAAACUUCGUGAACAGACUGUCACCGAAUUUUGGAAUGUGUAUUUACUUGUAUACAUUCCUUUCACUUGUUUGCUUUGAUUCUUCUUUUGUUUUUGUUCAUUGCAUCUUCCACUUUAUACUACUUAUUACAAGAAACUCUUAAUUGAUGCCAUCUUAUAAUUUGGAUAGAGAGGUGAAAUUUACACUCACAAUAUUCAACAAGUGCUCUUGCAUCAAUGAUACCACAAGAAGCUUGGAGUGGAAGACAACCUUGCAUAUGCCAUAUGAAGAAUUUUGGUUGCAUUGCAUAUGCAAAAACAUCAAAUUUUAUGAGGUCCAAACUUGAUGCAAAAGGUACAAAGUGUAUAUUUCUUGGUUAUUGUGAAGGUACUAAGGCACAUAGGCUAAUGUAUUUAGAAACCAAAAAGAUCAUCAAUUAUCAUAAUAUUGAUUUUUUGAAGCACAAGAGUGUUUGUGAGUACUUGGAGAUGUGUCUAAGUGAGAGUAAUAGUGUAUUUGUGGACACAUCUUUGAAUUCAACAAAAAAACAAGAAGAUGAAGCCAAUGAAGAUGAUGAAGAUGAAAAGCCAAAGAAGGUUGAAAAGAUGAAGGCUCCUAUAAUUGCUAGAAAUAGCAAUGAAGGAAAUGAAGAUGUUGAAGAUUGUAAUGAUGAUAAUGAGGAGUAUGAAUCAUUGAGUGAAAAAUGACAAGGUUUAAGAGAGAAGAAGGUUGGAAAAGAACAUAGGAUGUAAUAAGGUGAAUGUUCUUUUACAAAUGAAAGGAGAUAUCUUUUUAGAGAAAGAAGGCAAUGUGGUGAAUGGUGGAAGGAUCACAUCUUUCUUCAAAACUAAAAAGAGAUGCAAAUGAUAGAAGUUCUACAAAGAGAUAUGUCUUUUUCAUGGAAUUAUAAGAGACAACCUACCAUUGCAAGAUCAACAAUAGAAGUAGAAUACAUGGCAGCAAGUCAUUGUGCAAUAGAGGUGUGUUGGAUAAGAUAACUCUUAAAAGAUAUUGAAUUAGUGUUAUUAGAAGCAACUCUAAUUAUGUGUGAGAAACAAGGAUGUCUUGCAUUUGCCAAGAAUCCAAAAUACUAUUCAAGGACCAAUCAAAUUGAUGUUCAACAUCAUUUCAUAUAAGAGAAGAUUGAAGAUGGAAUAAUAGAUAUGAAGUAUUGUGCUACAAAUGACAAGUAUGCUGAUGUGCUUACAAAGGCAUUAGUGAAAGAUAGACAUCACAAGUUAAUACAAAGAUUAGGAUUGAAAGCUUAUUGAAAAUUAGCAAAGUCAGAGUGUUGAAGAUCAGCAAGUACUUGCUUAGUUAUAACCACAUAGAAAUUAAACAUAAUAUAUUGCUAAUAGCCAUAACAUAUUUAAGUAAGUAUAUAUAGAUUUUUAUAAGUAAUACAUGUAGAUAUGAAGCCAAUAUAGAUAUUUGUCUCAAUUUCUAAUCAUUAAUAUUCAAUUAUGAGUGAAAAUACUAUACCAACUAAGAUAAUUGCCUCCAAGACUUACUAAGAUUCUAUUUUUAUAAUUUUUCUUUUAAUAAGACUUUUAUACUUAUAAAUACUUUUAAAUUCUAAUAAAUAUAUAAAUAGUCAAUAAAAAUUAUUAAAUAUAUAUUUAUCUUAAUAAAUGAUUCAAUAUUAUAUUUUUAAUCAAUCCACUUAUUAAGAUCCAUUGGUGGGACUCACAUGUGGUGUCACGAACAUACAUAUAAUUACCUAUAUGAAUAGAUAAAAGUAUGUAAAAGUAGAUAAAAGUAGGUUAAUUGUGUAAUAUCUUCUAGAGAAGCUUCUUAGAAGCUUCAUAGACGCUGCUUUGACUUUAUAGGAGUCUAUAGUUGACUUUUAGGUUAGAAACUUAGUCAACAAGUUAGCCAUGUGCCACACAUGUUGGAAGCUUAAAGAACAAGCUAACUACGUGGUCCAUCCAUAGAAAACUUGCCUUGCAAGCAAAGGCAUGUGGCCUAGAAAGUCAACAUAUAUUGGAGGUCUUAUAGAACAUUGCCACGUGGCUUCUAGUUAGAUAGUAUAUAUAGAGGCAAGAGUGAAGCCCUCUUCACUCUUGUCAACUCCUUUCUUGCUUCUAGUCUAGUUUCAAGGGUCUCUAGUUUUCUUGUAUUUUGGCAAUAGCUAUUCCAGUUUCUUUCUUAAUAUACAUAUUUUUAUUUUGUCCUAUUUCUUUUUGAGAAAAGUCUCACUUACUCUUUAGCUUUCAUCGAGUUCUUGUCCUUGACAGAUUGACAAGAGUACACUUACAAUAUCAGAGCUUUGUCUUUUCUUGAUUAAGAGUGGAUUACCCCUUUUUUUGAUAAGACAUAAGCGCAUUAGAAGUUGCGGAUUACCCUCUUUUAAACUGAUAUUGUUCUUAGUACUUUCUUUGUUAUCAAUUCCUCUCUUCUAUUUGUUUUGAGCGUUAUUAGACAUCUUCUCUUUUCUAAGUGCUACUAUGGUAGAGCUUGUUGAAAUGAAGAGUGCAAUGGCACAGAUGCAAGAACAAUUGAGGGAGUUAAUGCUUGCGAUGCAUCAACUCAAUUUACCAUCACAAGGAGCAACAAGAAUGGUAGGAAGUGAAGAUAUAGAGAUGAUUGGAGCUGCUUCAACAUCUGCACCAAACCAUGUCCCUUCUCCCAGAAUGGAACACCCUUCGAGUGUUAGAGAACCGAGAGUUGCCUUGCUCGAGAAGUUUGAUGGUACCAGAUCCAAGUUUCGAGGAUUCAUCAAUCAGGUCCAACUAGUGAUUGAACUUCAACCCCAGAGCUAUCCAACUCCAGGAUCACAAGUUAGAUUCAUUGGUACACUUCUUGCAGGUUCAGCAUUGUCAUGGUUUUCAUCUUUUCUUGAAUGACGAGAUCCAAUAUUGGAUAAUCUGGAGGCUUUUUUGGCGGAGUUUCGAUCCAUGUUUGGAGAACAUGAUGCAAUUCGUGUUGCAACCAACAAGAUCCGUAUUUUGCGACAAGACAAUCGAUCAGUAACAUUAUAUGCUUCACAAUUUCGACAACUUGCAACUGAUAUCAAGUGGGAUGAUGCCGCACUUGUGAGUCAAUUUCUCUACGGAUUACAAUAUGAGGUAAAGAAAUUGAUGCUUAAUUUACCUGAUCCUCAAACAUUGAGUCAAGCAAUUGACUUUGCUGUGAAGUGCGACAAUCGACUUUUUGAAUUUCGAUCCGAGAGUCGCACAAGUGGGCCUCAACGUUACUACAAUUCAAUGGCAACACCGACGUCUCCUCAACACAUACCUUCAGAAGUAGAGGAUAUGCAAAUUGAUGCGGUACGUUUCAAACCUCUUACUGAGCAAGAAAAGUCUCGUCGUCGACAAGAAGGAUUGUGCUUAUAUUGUGGAGAACCUAAGCACACUGCUCAACAUUGUCCAAAGAAGCGACGUAACUACAAAAUGAGGAGUACGGCUGUCAAAGAAGACAGUAUGUCGGAAAACGAGUACGUCCAGCUACAAUAGGGACCGUGCGGCUGGAAUCUUGUACAACUUCUAAUGAAGGUCCUAUCCUCUCCUCAGAACCAUCUCCUUGUUUUAUAAUAGAUGUGCGUUUAGGACCUAAUAAUUACAAAGCCUCUGCCUUGGUAGAUUCAGGAGCCUCAUCUUGUUUUUUAGAUGAAGAAUUUGCUAGAUGUCAUAGAAUAUCAUUAAUACAAAAAACUAAACCUGUACACGUAGAAGUCAUAGAUGGUCGUCCGUUGUCUUCUGGAGAUGUAACUCACGAAACACUUCCUGUAGAUGUAGUAAUAAAUGGUCAUAGUAGUUGCGUAAUUUUUAAUAUAAUUAGAUCUCCCUCUAAUCCAGUAAUUUUAGGCUUAUCAUGGUUAGAAAAGUAUAAUCCUCGAAUAGAUUGGAUUUCUCGUAAACUUGAUUUUCCUCAGAGCAUUAGUAACAGUUCUAUUAAUCAAGUAAAAAACCAUGAGUCUAGUAUAGUAAAACUCACACUUAUAGGUGCAAAAGCAUUUAUACACGCAGCAAAAGAAGGAUCAACUUUUGCUAUUUAUGCUGCACCUAUUUCUGAAAGCGUAAAGACUUCAAGUGGCAUUCCAAGUCAAUAUCAGGAUUAUCAAGACGUUUUUGAGAAAAAGAAUGCAGAUAUUCUUCCUGAGCAUCGCCCAUACGAUUGUUCAAUCGAUCUCAAGGAAGGAACUCUGCCACCAUUUGGACCAAUUUACAGUUUAUCGCAAGAUGAGUUGGCUGAACUCAAGACAUAUAUUGACGAGAAUUUAGCGAAGAAUUUCAUACGCCAUUCAAAAUCUCCAGCAGGAGCUCCAAUUUUAUUCGUAAAGAAAAAAGAUGGAUCUUUACGAAUGUGUGUUGACUAUCGAGGACUCAACAAGAUCACAAUCAAGAACAGGUAUCCAUUACCUUUGAUAUCAAGACUCCUUGACCAUUUAAAUCAAGCUAAGAUCUAUACAAAAAUAGAUCUAAGAUGAGCAUAUAAUCUAGUACGGAUCAAAGAAGGAGAUGAAUGGAAGACUGCGUUUCGAACCAGGUACGGGCAUUUUGAAUAUAAUGUCAUGCCUUUUGGACUCACGAAUGUACCAGCUGCUUUUCAACAUCUCAUGAAUGAUGUAUUUCGUGAAUUCUUAGACAAUUUUGUCGUCUGCUACCUAGACGAUAUCCUGAUUUAUUCUAAGAAUGUUGAAGAACAUGAAAUACAUGUUCGUCAAGUAUUACAAAAACUCAGAGAUGCAGGAUUGUACGCCAAGAUGGAAAAGUGUGUAUUUCACACUACUCAAGUUGACUUUUUAGGAUACAUCAUUUCAAAUGAUGGUCUCAUUAUGGAUUCUAAGAAAGUCCAAACAAUCAUGGAUUAGAAGAUUCCAAGGACAGUAAGAGAUGUCCAAUGUUUCUUGGGAUUUGCCAAUUACUAUCGGAUCUUCAUCAAAGAUUUUUCAUGAGUUGCAGCUCCACUUACACGCUUGACUAGUAAAGAUAAAUUCCAAUGGAAUCAAGAAGCGGAAGCAAUAUUUGAAGCCUUGAAGACAUCGUUUGUCUCUGCACCAGUCUUAUAUCAUGUUGACUUUUCCAAGGCAUUUUUUAUGGAAACAGAUGCAUCAGAUUUUGCCUUGGGUGCAGUUUUAUCACAAAUGGGAACAGAUGACAAACUUCAUCCGAUAGCUUUUCAUUCAAGAAAAUUCUCAGCAGUCGAGAUCAAUUAUGAGAUCCACGAUAAAGAACUUCUUGCAAUCGUGGAUUCCUUUCAAGAAUGGCGUCAUUAUCUAGAAGGUACUUCUAGUCCAGUCACUGUGUAUACAGAUCACAAGAACCUCGAGUAUUUCAUGUCAGCACGUGUGUUGAAUCAUCGUCAAGCUCGUUGGAGUAUGUCUUUGUCAAGAUUCGACUUCAUUAUCACUUAUCGGCCAGGAAAACAACAAGGUUUGUCCGAUGCUCUGUCUAGACGUUCUUAUUUUGCACCAAAAGAAGGAGAUGCAGCUUUUGAGCAACAAAGAACGGUCCUCUUGAAACCGGAGCAAUUUCAUCUCCGAGCAAUGAAAUCAACAUUGACUGUUGAUUCAACUUUUCUCAAGCAAAUCCAGUCCAGUAUGUCCUCAGACCCUCUUGUUCAUGAUAUCGAGAAUAAUUCUUCCAAGUCUCAUGAUUCUUCUAAGUUCGAGUUUAAGAAUAAUCUAUUAUAUUUUGAAGGACGCCUAUAUGUUCCAGAAGGAAAAGCACGUUUGCGUGUUCUUCAAGCACGUCAUGACUUUCCAGCAGCAGGGCACUUUGGAUAUAAUAAGACUCUGGAACUCAUAUCAAGAGAUUUUUGGUGGCCACAAAUGUGGAAGUCAGUCAAAGACUUUGUACAAUCAUGUGAUAUUUGUUCAAGAUCAAAAAUUCCUCGACAUCGACCUUACGGACUUCUUCAGCCAUUACCUAUACCAGAACAACCAUGGUCUUCUGUUUCUAUGGAUUUCAUCACAGAUCUUCCAAACUCAAGAUCUUAUGAUUCUAUAUUUGUGAUAGUAGAUCGUUUCACCAAGAUGGCACAUUUUAUGCCAUGUACAAAAUCUAUCACAGGUGAAGAAACAGCUAAGCUUUUCAUUGAUAAUAUCUUUCGCUAUCAUGGAUUACCUAAAGAUAUCAUAUCGGAUAGGAGAACUCAAUUUGUGUCGAGAUUCUGGAGGACUCUUUUCAAGAUUUUAAAAGUGGACAUAAAGCUAUCUUCAGCUUUCCAUCCUCAAACUGAUGGACAAACAGAGCACGUAAACCAAGUCUUGGAACAGUAUUUAAGGUGUACCAUCAACUACCAACAAGAUGAUUGGACAAACCUUCUGCCAUUGGCAGAGUUUGCUUAUAAUAAUACGGUACAUUCCUCCACGCAAAAAACACCUUUCUUUGCCAAUUAUGGCUAUCAUCCACGACUUGAUACUUUUGAUUUUUCAAAAGUUGAUAAUCCUGCAGCAGAAGAUAUGGCAAAUCGGUUGUCAGAGUUACAUGCAAUAAUGAAGGCGCAGUUGAAGAAAGCUCAAGAACGACAAAAGAUAAAUACAGAUGUAUAUCGUAAAGAGCAACCACAACUCAACGUGGGUGAUAAGGUAUGGCUACUUCGUCGCAAUAUCAAGACCACUCGACCUUGUGACAAAUUGGACUAUCGUAGGCUUGGCCCCUUUUCUGUUUCUGAACAGAUCAACCUAGUUGCAUAUCGGUUACAUCUACCGGAGUCAAUGAAGAUCCAUCCUGUAUUCCACGUGUCUCUUCUUGAACCAUAUAAGACAGUGGAUAUACAAGGAAGAAGACAAAUGCCACCACCUCCUAUAGAAGUAGAUAGUAAUGAAGAAUUUGAGGUGGAAGAGAUAUUAGACUCAAGGCGGCGCCGAAAUAAGCUGGAAUAUCUUGUUCAUUGGUGCGGAUAUGAUAUUAGUGAGCGCACAUGGGAGCCAUCCAGGAAUCUAGCAAAUGCAUCAGCUAAAGUCAAAGUUUUUCAUCAACGACAUCCAUCAAAACCAAGAUGAAAACCUCUCUUAUAAAAGAGACAAGAUUGAGGCAAGAUAACAAUUUCCUAUCCUUGUUUGUAACUUCUUUGCAUUUUGUGAUGCUAAUUAGAUGGAGAGCCAACAACCAGUGGAUUCAACUCAAGAACCUUCGUUUGCUGACUUACCGGAUGAGACAUUGCGAAUGUCACAACCUUCAAGACGACGCAACCGAGAUGAAGACCCUCAAGAACGACAUGUUCUUCCUCGAAUAGAUGGUGAGAUACAACGCGUUUGGUAUCACGACCUUGGAAGAGAUUCUCGAUGUUUGGUGAUAUUAUUGGAGAUAGGAACGACUCCUGAUGGUGUUUCAAAUGUAUUAUUUGAAGGAAGUUAUGAAGGCCUCAACAGUAAUCAAAUAACAGGGUGGUCUUCUCGCCCUGGAAUGGGACACUAUCGAUGGCUAAGAGGACCCAUCAACUAUCUUCGAAGAGAACAAAGAUCAGAGUAUGUAGCAAAUACAAUUCGCCGCAUAUUAGAUUUUCUCAAUAUAUAAUCACCGCUCCUCGUGGAACUCGUCCCUAGAAGGGGGGGUAAUGUCACGGACAUACAUAUAAUUACCUAUAUGAAUAGAUAAAAGUAUGUAAAAAUAGAUAACAGUAGGUUAAUUGUGUAAUAUCUUCUAGAAAAGCUUCUUAGAAGCUUCAUAGACGUUGCUUUGACUUUAUAGGAGUCUAUAGUUGACUUUUAGGUUAGAAACUUAGUCAACAAGUUAGCCAUGUGCCACACAUGUUGGAAGCUUAAAGAACAAGCUAACUACGUGGUCCAUCCAUAGAAAACUUGCCUUGCAAGCAAAGGCAUGUGGCCUAGAAAGUCAACAUAUAUUGGAGGUCUUAUAGAACAUCGCCACGUGGCUUCUAGUUAGAUAGUAUAUAUAGAGGCAAGAGUGAAGCCCUCUUCACUCUUGUCAACUCCUUUCUUGCUUCUAGUCUAGUUUCAAGGGUCUCUAGUUUUCUUGUAUUUUGGCAAUAGCCAUUCCAGUUUCUUUCUUAAUAUACAUAUUUUUAUUUUGUCCUAUUUCUUUUUGAGAAAAGUCUCACUUACUCUUUAGCUUUCAUCGAGUUCUUGUCCUUGACAUGUGGCGACCAUUUGGGACUAUUUGUAAAAAUAGAGAGAACCCAACUCUUCCAUUUGAAACGGUUUAUGAAAAAUAUAGGAAACUAAAAUAAAAUAAAAUAAAAUAAAUUAUCAAAAAAGAUACUAUCACCUAUUAAAAGAAGUAGAAUAUAAAAAGAAAACUACUGAAAUAUUGACAUAGAGUCAAGAAAGAUCAACUAUUUGGUUUAGACUCAAUAUGUCUCCACAUGUAGCAACUUUUAGCAUCUUAAACCAUCACCUACAUGCUUAGAGUAAGAAGAUAUAUAUAUAUAUAUAUAUAUAAAGAGAGAGAGAGAGAGAAAGAGAAAGAGAAAGAGAGAGAGAAAGAGAAAGAGUAUAGAUAAAGAUAUAGAUAUAGAGUAAGAAAAUAUAUAUAUAUAUAUAUAUAUAUAUAUAUGUAUUUAUCUUUUUAUCAAAGAUCUCCUUUUUUUUCAUCUAAGUAGUUUUUAUGUGUUGAACUACAAUCUUUGAAUCCCACUAUGUUUUUUUAGAUACUCUAAUUAUUCUUCUAAAGAUUGAAAAACAUUCAAUCUUUUGUCAAUAGCAAUGUGCAAGGAUGAGCCUUCAAAUUCUAUAAAUAAAAUAUAAAUGUCCUCUUCUUUGUAAGUAUUUUCUUCUAACCAUUUGGCAAAAUCACCUUCAUCUUUAUAUUCAUAUAAUUCAUGGCAAAUACAUUUUAUUGGUGCUAUAGUUGAAAUUGAAUUGGAUUGGAUAAAACUACUUUGUUUAGCUUCUUUAGAUGUUGGUGUUUUUUCUAAUGGAAUAAGGACUUGGAGUCUAAAGUGGCUAGAUACUAUGGUUGUUGUAUGAUUAUUUAAAGGUCCAAAAGUAAAAUAAGACUUAGAAGCCCUCCAAUUUGUUACUCCUUUAGAUUGCCUCAACAAUCUUCUUUUUAAUAAUAGAAGGUAGCUAUCCACUUCUUCAUAUAAGCAUAUGACAUAAAAUAAUACUACAUAAUCUACACCUCUUGCUUACAUAUGAAGGUCUCAAAUUUGACCUAAACAUUAAAAAGGACUUUGAUCAACUAAUCUCACCUUCAUAACUAUCUUAUGAGUGAUUUUUAAUCUUAAUUUGAUCAUGGUGAAUUUGAGCAUAAUAUUCAUGCUACUUCCAUCAUCUACUAUGACCUUAGAAAUUAUUUUAUGUACUAUUUCUACUUCUAUCUCAAUAGGUCCAUAUUCUCUAUUGUCUUUUUUUUUCUUCCGAGUUAAUAUUUUCUUCUAAAUCUCCAACUUCAAUUCUAGCUAUUUCUACCAAAUUUUUAGUUUUUUUAUCUAAUUAUAUCUUUUUUGAGGUCUUUUUUGAUAGUUGGUGCUACUUAAAUUAAUUGAUCAAAAGAUAUGUUGGUUCUAGUCCUACAAAGGUCUUGCCAUAAAUCAUAUGGUUUUACAAGAUUGAAGGCUAUAAUAAUUGUUGGAUGUUUUAACAAGGCAUUAGAGGUCCAAGGCCCUUUUUUGUCCACAAAUUGAUAUUCUUCCUCAUUAGGUUCAAUCAAAGAAGAUAAUUGAUCGUAUUUUAGUUAUUUAGCUACCUCCUGAGUAGUUUUUGUUAAUUCUUCAAACUUAAGUAAUUCUUCUGAAGUAUCUAAAGAUAUUUUAUUAUCUUCAAGAGGUGCUAAAUCUAUUGGUUUUUUGGCUUUCAUACUUCUAAUUACAACCAAAGAAGGUAAAUAUACAUUAUUCUUGAAGAUCUCCUCAAUGUCUAGUUAGACCAAGUUGGAUUGAGGAGAUGGUAAGGUUGAUGUAGUAAGUACAUGAGGUUGAACCAUUAUAUAUUUAACAUCUUCAAAAGAUUGUGGCUGUUGAUUUUGGUUUUGAUUUUGAGUAUAGGUUAUAUAUCCUUAUAAUAUUCCAUGAUUGGUUCUAACUAUUGUUGGAGGAUGAUGGUUUUGACCAUUACUUGAAGGAUCAUAAUACAUGUUUUAUGAGUUUUUUGUAACAAAAGGAUUUGUAAAUCUCACUCCUUAUAUAUUUCCUUUGGUUUGAUUAUUAUAAUCGUUUGAAGAAGAAGUAGAGGAAUUAACUUGGUUGGAUCUUCUACAAUGAUGUAUAGAAUGAGAACUUCUACAAUUUGAGUAUAUAAGUCCAUUCUAAAUCCAACAUUGACCUACCCGAUGUGGUUUUCUACAAGUAGGAUAAGGUAUAAUAUUAUUCGUUUAGUUGGAAGGAAGACUAGGACUUACUUGUCUUGAAUGGUGAGAAUAUCUAUGAGGUUGGGAUUGAUUUUUUUAUAUAAGUAGUUGUUGUAGAAAUUAUGAACAAAAUUAGACAGUGUGAUUUACUUGUCUAUAGUCUGUACACCACAAUCCAAAAGUAUGAAUUUCUGAUGUCAUGUUUUAACAUGACUAUAUGGUGAAAGAUGAUAAUAUGGAUCUUAUCAUAGAAGAGCCAAGUUAAAAGAUAAAGUAGAAAAUAUGGAUAAAAGAUAGGGAGGUAGUAAAACUUUUAGUAGUAAUACUAUAUUUUUUAGAAAAGUGACUUCUACUUAUAUUGUAGGGCCAUAAAUAAGGCAAAAUAAAGUAGACUAGAAAAAUAAAUAAUAUAAGAAUCUUAAGAAGGAAGUAAAGAGUAAAUUCUAGCAAAAACUAUUUAUAAUAACUAGAUAUUGAUAUUCGGAGAGGGCCAAUUAUGAACCAGGGUUGAAAUCAGAUCCCAAGGCACAGAACCAAGUCUUGACGAUGACUUUAAGAUUCUUUAGCAAAUUGGAGAGUACAAUUUGAUAGAAGAUUGGAUAGGGUUUCUAUAAGCAUUGGUUUUGGAUGAUUUGGAUCUGUAUUGACUUUAUAAGAGCCUUGCAAAGUCAAGGUUUGUUUUGGAUGACUUGGAUUUUGUGAAAUAAAAUAGGUGUUACGUUUUGGGUGAUUUCAAGAAUUUUGUAAUAGUUCUACAAGUGAAAAUUUGUGGGUUAAUGUUUAUAGUUGUAUUCAAUAUUUUUUGUAAAUUUAAGUUCGAUCUAACAGUUGAAUUGAGAGUUAUUGAGGUUUAAGUGAGUCAAGGUAUCAAAAAGUAAAAUUUUAGGUCUAGUGAGGGUUUUUAAGAUUUCUUGCAAUCUACUAGUUAGAUUGGAGUAAAACUUAUGUGAGAGGAUAUUAGAUUUUUUUUUCUAUAUGUAUGAGAAUUUUGAAAUCAAUCGAAUGGUGAAAAGAAGAGAUAUUGGCUCUAGAAGAUUGGCAUUAAGGUUGGAGAAGGAGGCCGGCCAAUACCCGAGCAUGUUUUUGAGGUAAUCAUCUAUUUAGUAAUUCCGAUCCUUUUCAAAAUUUUUGUACUUAUUUUCAACUUAGUUUUUAAGAAGUUCAAAAAAUUUGAGUUAAGAUCAAUAAUUCAUUCAUUAGUUAUUGAGGUUUGAAUCUGUUAUAGAAAUUACUAGGGUUUGAUUAAGAUUUGGUUUAGGGUUUAGAAUUUGGUUAGGGUUUCAUUUAGGAUUUGGUUAGGGUUUGGUUAGGAUUUGGUUUAGGGUUAAGGAUUUGAUUUAAGUUUUAGGGUUUAAUUUAGGAUUUAGGAUUUGAUUUAGGGUUUAAGAUUUGGUUUAAGAUUUGUUUAGGAUUUGGUUAGAGUUUGGUUUAGUAUUUGAUUAGGAUUUGAUUUAGGGUUUAAGAUUUGGUUUAAGAUUUGUUUAGGAUUUGGUUAGAGUUUGGUUUAGUAUUUGAUUAGGAUUUGGUUUAGGAUUUAGGAUUUGAUUUAGGAUUUAGGAUUUGAUUUAGGAUUUAGGAUUUGAUUUAGGAUUUAGGAUUUGGUUUAGGAUUUAAGGUUUAGGGUUUGAUUUAGGAUUUAAGAUUUGAUUUAGGAUUUAUUUAAGGUUUGGUUAGGAUUUAGAAUUUGGUUUAAGGUUUAAGGUUUAGUUAGGAUUUGAUUUAAGAUUUACUUAGGGAUUGGUUAGAAUUUGGUUUAGAAUUUGAUUAGGAUUUGGUUUAGGGUUUAGGAUUUGGUUUAGAAUUUAAGGUUUAGGGUUUGAUUUAGGAUUUAAGAUUUGAUUUAGGAUUUAUUUAAGGUUUGAUUAGGAUGUAGGAUUUGGUUAGGGUUUGAUUUAGGAUUUAGAAUUUGGUUUAAGGUUUAAGGUUUAGUUAGGAUUUGAUUUAAGAUUUAUUUAGGGAUUGGUUAGAAUUUGGUUUAGAAUUUGAUUAGGAUUUGGUUUAGGAUUUAGGAUUUGAUUUAGGAUUUAAGGUUUAAUUAGGGCUUAAUUUAAGAUUUAGGGUUUGAUUUAGGAUUUGUUUAAGAAUUGGUUAGAGUUUGGUUUAGGAUUUGAUUAGGAUUUGAUUUAGGAUUUAAGAUUUUAUUAGGAUUUAUUUAGGAUUUAUUUAGGAUUUAAGAUUUAAUUAAUUUUGGCCUAAAGUUCAAAUGAAGUCCAAUAGGAUUUUAACUAGGAUUAAAUUAGAAUUGAAUUGUGAUGUAUUUGAGAUAUAUUUGUGAUCAUUCUAAUAUUUCUUUAAGUUUUGUUAUUGUUUCUUUAAAAUUUCUUUGAGGUUUUUUGAAUUUGAUUAAAGCUUGCUUAAUAUUAUUAUGGUCUAAUUAGAGUUUAGUUAGUAUUCUAUUAGAGUUAGAAUUUUGUUAUUACAAUUUCUAUUCUACCUUCCACAACUAGGUGUCCAUAGCAUUUUCAAGCAAGACUUCACGUAUUAUGACACCGAUUUGUGGUAUCUAGGUUCUAUAGUUGGAAUUUGAUUUUUAAUAAGGCAAAAUAUUUGUUCACUAAUAGCUUCUAUUGUGUUCAUCAUCUCAUUUUGAAUACCUCAUUAAUUUGUAUUAGUUUACUUUUAAAUUCUUUCAAUCUAGUAUCAUAAAAGGUCUUAGUUUGAACUUGAUCACGUGGAAGUUGUAUAGCUUAAGGUUUUGGAUUACUAAUUAGUAAGAAAAAAGUAGAAGAUUGUAAGUAGCUUAAAAUUAGAGAUGGAUGGAAUUCUAUAGGUUGAUGUUGCAAAGGUAUAAAAGAGGAUAUUGAUUCUUCUGUCCUUCAAAGCAUAUUAUCAAUUUUCUUAUCAAUAACUUCUACUUCCAAAGCUGCUUGAAUGAAUCCUUUUAAAUCUUUAUGUCUCUUGUUUAGGAUAUUCCAAAUUAUAGAAGGCAUAGUAAAAUCUUGAAUAAAGUAGUGUCUUAUGGUAUCUUCAUUUAAAAAGUUAUCAAUAUAUCAUGUAUAUACUACUCAAAAGCGCCUCAUGUAAGAACUAAUAUCUUUUGAAGGACCUUGUAUAAUAGUUGUCAAGAUUGAAAGAGCUUGUUGUUGGCUAAUUACAAGUCUAAAUUGACAAAGAAAUACUGCUAGAAGUUGUUCCUAUUUAGUAAAUGCCCCCUCUACAUGAGAUCUAUACCAAGCAUAUACAGAGUGUGUUAAGGUUGUUAGAAAUCAUAUUAAAUAGUAGCCAUGAUUGGUUACUAAACUAAUGAUAAGCACUUCUACAAACCUUUUUACGUGGGUUGCUGGAUUUUCAUUGAUAGAUCUAUUAAAUCUUAGGAGAUUAGGUGGAAUUGAUGCCCCUUAUAAUCUUAAAGGUACUACAAUUGUUAAUCCCCUCGGUAACAUCAUAGGAUCAAUUGAGUAUUGGCUUAGAAGUUGUGGUUAUCUUCAUUAGCUAUAUGAGCUCUUUAAAUUAGAAAUGAUAAAGGCUCUACUUGAGGCUCUCAAGGAUGUCCUCUAUCAUAUUCCAUCUUGAUAGAAGCUUAUAACAUCUUGUCACAAAGUUCUUUUAAUUCAUGAAUUUUUAAAAUUAUAAAUUCAAUAUAUGAUCUACAUUGUAAAACGCAUCAAGAUCGCAAAACAAGGCCAAUAUGGAUAGGAUAAACUAUCUUGGAUUCAAUUCUAGGUAGCAUACAACUAAGUAUAUGGCUCUUCAAUGAUUUCCUUAAGAUAAAAGACCUAAUAGGUGAUUAAAAAUAAAACAAAUAGACUUUAAAUUAUUUUUAUUUUAUUUUAUGAAAUAACAUAAAAUCCUUUCCUAACCUAUUUGUAAAGUGCGUUGUUGUGAUGUAACAUGAUUAAUAAGUGAAAGAAUGUGGAGAUUAUUAUAAUUUAAGAGAUCUUAGUUUAAAGUAUUAGAAAAAAUUAUCUUAGAAAUAUAGUUAAUAGCCAAAGAGGUAGAAAAAUUAAAAGGUAUCAAUGCUGCCUUUUAGAAAGGUGACUUCUACUUACUUUGUAGUACCAUAAGUAAGGCAAAUCAAAGUAGAUUGGGAAAAUAAAUGAUAUAGGAAUCUUAAGAAGAAAGUUAAGAAUAAAUUCUAGAAAAAAAUUACUUAGAAAAACUAGAUAUUGAUACCCGGAGAGGGCCGGUUAUGAAUCAGGGUCGAAAUCAGACCCUGAGGCACAAAACCGAGUCUCAACGACGACUCCAAAACUCUUUGGCAGAUCGGAGAGUGGCGCCUGAGAGAAGAUUGGAUAAGGUUUCUAUGAGCGUUGAUUUUGGGUGAUUUGGAGUUGAUAUGAAUUUGUAAGAGCUUUGCAAAGUUGAGGUUUUUGUCGGAUGACUUGGGUUUUAUGAAAUAAAAUAGGAUUUAUGUUUUGAGUGAUUUUGAGUGUUUUGUUGCAGAUCUACGGGUAAAUUUUUUUGGGUUCAUGGUUAUAGUUGUCUUCAAUACAUGUUGUGAAUUUGAGCUUGAUCUAACGGUUGAAUUGAGAGAUAUUUAGGUUUAAGUGAGUCAAGGUCUCAGAAAGUAGAAUUUUAGGUCCAGUGAGGGUUUUUAAGAUUUCAUGCAAUCUACUAGUUGGAUUGGAGUAAAACUUAUGUGAGAGGAUAUUAGACUUAUUUUCCUAUGUCCAUGAGAAAUAUGAAACCAAUUGAACGGCGCAAAGAAGAGAAAAUUGGCUUUGGAAGGUUGGCAACAAGAUUAGAGAAGGAGGCCGGCUAACACCCGAACACAUUUUUGAGGUUUUCAUCAAUUUGGUAAUUUCGAUCCUUUUCAAAAAAAAUUUGCUUGUUUUGAACUUGAUUUUUAAGAAGUAUGCAAAUUUUGAAUUGAGAUCAACGGUUUAUUCAUUAGAUAUUGAGGUUUAAAUCUGUCAUAGGAAUUACUAGGAUUUAGAUUAGGAUUUGGCUAGGGUUCGGUUUAGGAUUUGGAUUAGGGUUUGGACUAGGAUUUGGAUUAGGGUUUGGCUAGGGUUCGGUUUAGGGUUUGAAUUAGGAUUUGGAUUAUGGUUUGGAUUAGGAUUUGGUUAGAGUUUGAUUUAAGGUUUGGUUUAGGAUUUAGAAUUUGGAUUAGAAUUUAUGAUUGGAUUAGGAUUUGGAUUAGGGUUUGGAUUAGGGUUUAGGAUUUGGUUAGGGUUUGAUUUAGGAUUUGGAUUAGGAUUUGGUUAGGAUUUGAUUUAAGGUUUGAUUUAGGGUUUAGGAUUGGAUUAGGGUUUGGUUUAGGGUUUGAUUUAGGGUUUGGUUUAGGGUUUAGGGUUUGGAAUAGGGUUUAAUUUAAGAUUUGUUUAGGAUUUGACUUAGGGUUUAGGAAUUAUUAGGGUUUAAUAUUUAAUUAGGUUUGGUCUAAAGUUGAGUGAAAUUCAAUAGGAUUUUAACUAGAAUUAAAUUAAGGUUGAAUUGACAUAUAUUUGAGUAAAAUUUGUGAUCAUUCUAAUAUUUCUUUAAGAAUUUUAUUGUUUGUUUGAAAUUUCUUUGAGUUGUUUUGAAUUGGAUUACGUUUGUUUACCAUUAUUAUAGUCUAAUUAGAGAAUUGUUAGUAUUCUAUUUAGGAUUUUGUUAUCGCAAUUUCUAUUCUUCCUUCUACAGCCAGGUGCCUGGAGCAUUCUCAAGCAAGACUUCACAGAUUACGACAGUGUGGUUUAAUUAUAUACUAAGAUGAAAUCUUAUGUUGAUCUCAAAUUAGUGGUCUUACCUAAUAAUUAAACCUUUCUCAUAAGUCAUGCACAAGGUCCAACUAAAUACUAAGUUAAGAUCUCGUGCCGAUCUUAAUAUCAUGGAGUCAUGUGUUAGAGAUUUACAAAUUAGAAAUUGAAAAAUGAGGCCAAAAGAAGUACAAGUAAUUUAAAAUUUUAUCACAUGGAUACGACAAAAAUCAAAUAGACAAGAAAAUAGCAACCUGUAGGGCAAUAUAUUGCUUUUAACUUUGUCUGAUGGAGGUCAUCAUAUUCCACACAUAUAGGCUCCACAACAAAAGAAAGUCAUACUAGCUAUUAGCUUGACUUCAUUUUCUACAAAACAUCUAAAAAUUAUAAGCGCCUAUCACAAGCACAACUAGGUUUUCUUAACAAAAGAGGUAGAUUAGAGAAUUUUUUGGUAUAUGUAAUUGAAUAUUUUAGUAUUCAAUUACACUAUAGAGUGAUAGAAUGGUUAAGGUAUUACCUAUAGAACAACAAGUCCCGCUGUGCUCCUUCUUAAGUGUCUCUAAAUUGAAAUAAAAAUGAAGAGUUAAGGUUUGAAACCUACCUAAUUUUUCCAAGCCGUACUUCUUUUAUGUAUGCCUAAAAUUUUAAAUAAAAUUAAAGAAUCCACUUAAUUUUACCAAACCAUGCUCUUUUUCUUCAACUCACAAUCUGUGUUAGUAAAAUGAAGUUGAAACUAAAUAAUUUUUGUUAAAAAUAUACUCACCUUGGAUUAUGAUUUGAACUUACUAGUCUUCUCUUUUCUUCUUUUCUUCUUUUUUCUUACUUAUUCUAAAUUCCUUCUAUUUAAUUCUUCUACUUAUUUCUUCUUCUUGAAUCUCUUCUUUUUUUAUUGAUGAAGAAUUUUCUUUAAUUCUUCCUAAGCUCUUUCUACACUACUCUCAUGAAUAGAAGAGAUAUGAGAGAUAGAGGGAGUGAUUAAAUCUCCCUAGAACUAGAGAAAGGCCCUCCAUUGGAAAAUUUAUAAUGAUGCAAAGAGAUGGUGUGAGGGGUGGAUGAACUGAUUAAAUCCCCCUAUCACUAGAGAAAAGCCCUCAACUCGAAAAUUUACAAAGAAGAGGAGUGAUGAAACCUUGAAGAUGAGCUCCAACGUUGAUGGUUUGGAAGUGACAAAUAACCUAAAGAAAACCACCAAAUAAUAUUAAAACUAAUACCAAACUAAUCAAAUAUUACUUAAGGUUAGAAAUAAUAAUGUUGCAUAAAAAAUAGUUUAAUGAAUAACAAAAAAUAUAUUAGACUUAAGUCAAUACAUAAAACUUAUAAUGCAUCUAAUAAAAAGAAAAAUAAUAUCAAUAAAUAAAAAUAAUGGUAAAAAUUCAACAAUAAAAAUAAAGAUAAAAAGAAAGUUAAUUAAUUAAUUAAUUAAAAAUAAAUAAAUAAAUAAAUAAAUAAAUAAAUAAAUAAAUAAAUAAAUAAUAAAUAAAAUAAAAAUAAAAAUAAGAUAAAAUAAAAUAAAAGAAAAAUAAGAGUGAAAAUAAAAUUUAAAAGUAAUAAAAAAUAAACAAUUGAUUUUAUUUUUUAUUAAUUAAAUAAUUUAUUUAUUUUAAUAAUAUCAUUAUUAUUUAUUAUUAAUAUUUUAUCAUAUUAUAUUUUAUUCUUAAUUUUCUUAUUUUUAUUUUUAUUUUUAAUUAUUAUUAUUUAUUUUCUAAUUUAAUUUAUUAUUAUUAUGAUUAUAAUUUAAUAUAAUUGAGAGAAUUUUAAAACACAAAACUUAAAAGUAUAACAAAAAAUCAACAAUGUAAAUGAUUGAAAGAUAUAAAUCACUAACCUAAAUUAUAUUUGCUCAAGGUAGCAACCUCUCUCCACUCCAAAAAUUGCCAAAAAUUCAAUAUUGAUUCGAAAGCAUUGGAUUUUUCACCACUAAAAACUCAACUUUGAGAUUCUUGUACCUAGAAAUUUUCAAUGUAAAAUACUUAUCCGGCACUUAGAAAUACCUUGUCAAAGAUAGGGUACACAAAACUGCCAAGGUAGUGAAUCCUCUUGUGUUCGAAAAUUCACCACAAACUCGUUAUGGCUCCAAAUUAAGCGUAUAAUAUCUUUUCAGAAAUCUAAUAAUAAGAUACAUACAAUGCCAAAGUUUCAACUUUAAAUAUCAAACACCCAAUAACUGAUUGACAAAAAUCCGAGAGCAAAUCAACAUUCUACUCAACAACAAAACUUUUAACUAUCUUUUGAUUUUUAAAAAUUUGAAAGCCUUAUUUACACCAAUAAGGAGAGAGGUAGAAAACUUACAAAUAAUGAAGACUAAGUUUCAAUGCUCACACAUUAAGUCCAAGCAAAAUCAUUCACCAAAAGCUAACUUUACAUUCUCACACACCAUUAAAAGCACCAUCUCUCGGCAAAUGCAUCAUUUAUGUGAGGGUAAAUUUCUCCUUCACCCCAAAUUACAAGAUGGCCUCAAUUAAGAGUUGCUUGUAAUAUGUGGUAUAAAAUAAAAGUAACAAUAAACAAGAAUAAAAUAAGAACAAUACAAAACAAGUGAAACAAGUGCAAUCAAGCAAUUGUACACUACAAAACUAGUCAAAGUCUUUUCACUGGAUUUUCAUCUAGAAAAAAGUAAAAGUAAAAAGUAAAAAAUAUAUUUUUAGAUAUAUAAUUUUUUUAUCUUUCCAAUGACAUAAAAUUCAUGUAAUUCUAAGUUACUAUGAGUAAGUUAUGAUAGAUUAAAGAUAGAAUAUAAAUAAUAGAAAAGUUAAGUGAAUAAUAUUUACAUUAAGGGUAACUUGCUCAAGAAAUCAGGAGCUUGAGUCUCACCAAGGCUCACAAGUAGUGUAUAUUGGUCGUCAAAAGAGGCCUUGAGGCCUUAGUCUUAUCUUCCUACAUAUAUCCAAGGUGCUACAACUCAUAUGGGAAUUGUACGCCUCUCUUCCUACAAGAACUAUAUUAGUUGUUUGUCCUCCUAUUUUCUACUAGUAAAACUACUUUUUUUGAAUUUUUGACUACACCAUGGUAUUCAAAAACACCCAAUUAGUCUAGUAACAUUGUGUAGUCUUCAAAUCUUGUUUCAUUUCUUCAUAGUGGCUCUCAAGGUGGUAAAACUCAAUUUUACCAAGUUCUUAAAUUUUUCUCUAAAAAUUCAUAAAAAAUCCUAAAUAAAUUCUAAAUUUUUUUAAAAAAUCCUAUAAUAUUUAUAUAAUAAUAAAAUCUAUAUAAAUCUAUAUUUUUAUAUCUUUGUGAUUUUUUAUAGUAAUAAAGUCAAUUUAAAUCUAUUAAAAAUCCUAUUCUUUACAUAGAUAAUUUAAAAGACAUGAAGUUCUUUUGCAUGCUUCUUUUAACUAUUAACUAAUCAUUGAUAGGAUUUUUGUAAGUAAUACAUGUAGAUAUGAAGCCAAUAUAGACAUUGGUCUCAAUUCCUAAUCAUUAAUACUCAACAAUGAGUAAAAAUACUACACCAACUAAGAUAAUUGCCUCCAAGGCUUAUCAAGACUCUAUUUUUGUAACUUUUCUUUUUAUAGGACUUUUAUACUUAUAAAUACUUCUAAAUUCUUAUAAAUAUAUAAAUAGUCAAAAAGACUCUCUAAUCUUAGUAUUUAUCUCAUUAAAUAAUUCAAUACUAUUUUUUUAACUAAUCCACUAAUUAAGAUUCAUUGAUAGGACUCACACAAAUCAUACAAAAUUUGCACCAAAAUCAUAGCCAAAAACCUAAACUCUGUGAUUUUUAGCUUUCUAAGUUUGAAUUAUUUCAAAAGAGUAACCCUAAUUACUGAUAAGGCCUCAGGCGGCCUCUUUGUAGCCCAUUGGGUAUGCCUUUUGGCCAAUAGCAAUGGAUAUUUUCAUCAUCUAUCUCCAUUUAUCCAUAUGGAUGUCUUAACUAAUCUUUUUGCUACCAAAAUCUAUCUCUAAUCUUUUUUCUUAAAAGAUUUAUAUAACAUAUAUCCUAAACAUCAAAUAAAAGAAAUAAAACAAGAUUUUAAGAGUCACCAAUGUCUAAUAAAGGUGGCUCUAAAUUUAUAAAAUUACUAUCAAUAUAAAAUCAACUUCAAUAAUAGCCCUUUUAAACUAACUAUUUCAAAGUAGUAAUCUAACCAUAUUUUGAAACUAACUAAAAUCUAAUAAUAUGGCUUUUACCACAUUAUAUACUAAAUUAUAUAUUAAAUAUUUAUGUGCAUUAUUUUCACAUAGUAGCCAAAUCACAGCAUAAUAUUGUGUUAAAGGCAAGAGCUAAGUUCUCUCUAUUCUUAGAAAUAAUCCCAGAUAGUUGCCAUAUGUGAGUGCUACUAAUUCAUCUUAAUUAGUGGAUUGAUUAAAAAUAUAGUUUAAAGUCACUUUAUUAUAUAAAUAGUAAGAUUAAAAAUUCUUUUUGACUAUUUAAUUAUUUAUUAGAAUUAAGAAGUAUUUAUAAGUACAAAAGUCUUAUAAGAAGAAAAUUCUUAUUGAAAAGAAAGUCAUAAAAAUGGAGACUUAAUAAAACUUGGAAGCAAUUAUCUCCAUUAAUUUUAUAUUUUUACUUAUUGUUAAAUAUUAAAUAUUAGUUAUUGAAACCAAUUUCUUUAUUAGCCUCUUAUCUAUAAUUAUAACUUAUAAAAAUCCUAUCAAUUAUUAAUUAAUAAUUAGAAGUAGCAUAAAAAUAAUUUCAUGUCUUUUUAGUUAAUUACUUAAAAAAUAGGAUUUUUUUGUAGAUAUAAAUUGAUUUUAUUACUAUAAAAAAAUAUCAAAAAAAUAUAGCCUUAAAUAGAUACUAUUAUUAUAAAAAUAUUAUAUAAUUUUUUAGGACUUAUUUAGAAUUUAUUUAGAAUUUAUUUAGAAUUUAUUUAUAAUUUAUUUAGAAUUUAUUUAAAACUAUUUAGGAAUUUUUAUAGAAGAUUUCAAGACCUUGGUAAAAUUGAGUUUUACUACCUUGGAAGCCAUUAUGAAUAAAUGAAGUAAGAUUCAAAGUCUAUACAAGGUUCCUAGUCUAAUUGGAUGUUUUUAAACACUAUGAUGAAGUCAAAAAUGCAAAAAAAGAAAUUUUAUUAGUAAAAAAUAGGAGGACCAACAACUAAUCUAAUUCUUGUAGAAAAAGAAGUGCACAAAUUCCAUAUGGAUUGUAGCACCUUGGAAAUAGGUAGGAAGAUAAGACUAAGGCCUUGUGGCUUCUCUUAAUAAUCCAUUUACAUUAAUUAACAGCCUUUGUAAGGCUCAAAUUCUUGAUCUCUUAAAGCAAGUUAUCCUUGAGAUAAAAUUUAUUCAUUUAAAAUUUCUAUUAUUUACCUCCUAUAUUUAAUCUAUCAUAAUAUAUUCAUAGUAACUUCAAUUUAUAUUUUUUUAUGUCAUUAAAAAGAUAAAAGAAUUAUCUAUAUAAAAAUCUAUUUUUUAUUUUUUAUUUUUAUUUUUUUAUUAAGUAAAAAUCUAAUAAAUAUACUAUAAUUAGUUUUGUAGUAUAUAAUUGCUUGAUUAAUUUGAAUAUAAGGAGAAAUUUAUCCUCAUAGUAGGCCAUGGUUGAUGGAUUGAGAAGCCAUAGUCAACUAAAGAGGAGACAAAUUCCACAUUAUCUUUGGUCUAUAGAUGAAUAGAAUCAAAAUCUUCAUAAGAUCUAUCCUUGAUUAUGAAAAAAUUGAUUCCAUUGAUUUGUUAGAAGAUAUUCAAAAAUUUAAAAUACAAGACAAAUUAACAAAGGUAGUCAAUUCAAUUGACCAAAAUUCAAAGAAAAAAUAAUGCCUAUGUUCCAAUCUUUAUAAUUGAGAGGAUAAGGGAGAAUUCAAAUAAUGGUUACAAGAUCAUCUAGACUUCAAUUCUCAUUAUUGUAAAUUAAUUAUUUUUUUGGAUGAAACAUUAGAAAUUAUGGAAGUUCAAGAAAUACAAGUUCUUAGCAUUAAUAUGGAAGGAACCUUAGAAGAAGAGAUUGAAGUCUUUAAAUUGAAUGAUGACCUAAUUCACCUUUUUUAAUUUUAAUACACUUCAACAAGAAUUAUGAUCAAUAAUGGAGUUAUCAACAAUCCUUUUAUAAUUAGUGAUGGAUAUAGAAUUUUUUUUUUAAGAUAAAAAUUGAUGAUGAAUUAACUAUUCAAAAAUCUUUAACAAAUAUAGUAAAAAAAUUGAAGGCUUAAUUGGAAUUUGAAGGACUAGGAUUCAACAUAUAAAAUUAAUUCGAAGAAGGAAAAAAAAUGCUUUUAAAAAAAAAUACAAGAAGAAAGUCUUACCACUAGAGAUGCUAGUAUUUUUGUAAGAUACUAAGAAAAUGGAUUUCUUUAGGAAAUUUGAUGCUCUUUGAUCAGGACCUUAUCAUAUUUGGAAAGUAUUUGAUAAUAACUAUUUACAAUCAAAAACAUUAAAUGAUAAAUUAUUUCUAACAAAAACAUCUAAGAAUAGAUGUAAGAAGUAUAAAGCAUGAAAAAAAUUCAUCUCAUAGUGAAAAAAUACUAUACUCUCUUUGUACCUAAAUGACUAAAGAUUUAACUAAAAAACUUAGUCAAACUUGAUUUUUAUGAAGAAAAUAGGAAACUUGACUCAUCAAAAUGACAAGAAUUAUACUUUACGUGGUUUUUAGUUCUACUAGAAUAUUAUCUCUUCUAUUUAUUAAAAGCUAGUAAAUCCUAUACAACAUAAUAAAUAAAUAAAUAAAUAAUAAAUAAAAUAAAAAGAUCAAACAAGGUAGAAAGAAUAAAAAAUAAAAAAAAAGAUUUAAAAAAAAAAAAAAAACAAAAGAAGUAAAAAAAGAAGAAUAUCUUACUUGCCUAAAAUUCUUUGUAUGAAUCAUCAAAUUUAUUCACUUAUUAUUUUAGGAUAAAAAUAUGCAUUUAAAAUAUUUUAAAUCAUAAUAUAUAGUGAGUAGUAAAGAAAUCCUUAGAGAAAUAAAAAAUUAGAUUGUUAGUAGAGGAAAAUGGAAUCUUAAUAUAUCUUGGAGGCAAUUAUCUUCAUUGAUUUAAUAUUUUUAUUCAUUGUUGAAUACUAAGGAUUAUUUAUUAAGACCAAUAUUUAUAUUGGUUUUCUAUCUAUAUGUACUACUUAUAAAAACUAUAAAUAUUAAUAGUUAGAAGAAGCAUGAAAAAGCACCUCAUGUCAUUUUAAUUAUUGAUAUAAAAAAUAAGAUGUAUAGUAGAUUUAAAUUGAUUUUUAUUAUUAUCAAAAUCACCAAGGUAAGAAAAUGUAGCCAUAAAUGGAUAUUAGAAUUAUAAAAAUAUUAGAGGAUUUUUAAGAAUUUAUUUAGAAUUUAUAUAGUAUUUUUUAUGAAUUUAUAGAGCAAUUUUCAAGAUCUUAGUAAAAAUGAGUUUUACCACUUUGGGAGCCUUUAUAAAGAAAUGGAGCAAGAUUUGAAGGCCACACAAGGAUUCAAGGCUAAUUGAGUAUUUUAAAUACCAUGGUGAGUUCAAAAAUACAAAAAUGUUGGUCCUUCUAAUAGAAAAUAGGAGAACCAAUAGCUAGUGUAGUCUUUGUAGGAAGAAGGGUGCAAAAGUCCCAUAUGGGUUGUAGCACCUUGAGGUAGUUAGGAGAAUAAGACUAAGGCCUUGUGGCCUCUCUAAGAGACCCUUAUAUACUACAUGUUAGCCUUGGUGAGGCUCGAAUCCUUGAUUUAUAAGCAAGUUACCUUUGAGGUAAAAUAUUUUGACUUUAUUUUUUAAUUAUUUACUUCUUAUUUGUAAUACUUCAUAACUUACUUAUAAUAAUUCGGAUUUACAUAUUUUUCAUGUUAUUGAAAAGAUAAUAAAAUUAUUUAUCUAAAAGUAUAAUUUUUUACUUUUCACUUUUAUUUUUUAUUAGAUAAAAACAUAAUAGAUAAAAUGAGACUUAGUUUUGGAUGUUGUAAUUACUUGAUUUCAUUUCUUUCACUUGUAUUGCGGUUGUUCUUCUUUGGUUUUUUGCCAAUUACAUACUUCACUUCACACCACAAAUUAAAAGAAACUUUUAAAUGAAGCCAGCUUGUAAUUGGGGUUGAGAAGUGAAAUUUAUACUUAUAUUUUGGUGAGUGUGCCAGGAGAUGGUGCUCCUAAUGGUGUGUGUGAAUGUAAAGUUGCUUGUUGUUAUUGAUCUUACUUGGUUUUGUUGAGUAAGUAAUUCAAAUAGGUCUUCAUCAUUGGUAAGGAUUCUACAUCUUUCCUUAUGUGUGAAAAUAAAUCAUUUCAAAUUUUCACUUUAUAAGAUAGUCAAGGAUUUCAAUUUUGAAUUGAAUGUGGAUUGGUCUCGGGUUUUUAUCAAUCAGUUUUUAUGUGUUGCAUCUUUUAAGUUGAAACUUCUUAAGAUUGUGUGUCUUGAUGUUAGUAUUUCAAAAAGCUAUCAGAAGUUAAAAUUGGAGUUGAUUUGAAGUUUUAGUGAAUUUUAGAUUAGAAAGAGGUUCAACGAUUAGGCAGUUUCAUGUACCCUUGUUUGGAAAGGCAUUUCUUAGUGCUUGGUGAUUAUUUUACUGUGAAAUGUUUUGAAGACAAGCAUCUUAAAGUUAAGUUUGUAGUGGCAAAAAUUCCAAUGCUAUAGAAUAAAAGUCGAAUUUGUGACGAUUUUUGGAGUGGAGAGAGGUUGCUACCAUAAUCGGAAUACAAUUGAGGUUAGUGAUUUCUAUCUCUUCUAUCAUUUAUAUUUUGGAUUUUAUGUUAUAUUUUAAAAUUUUGUGUUAAAAAUAUUCUUCUUAUUUGUAUCAGAUUAUAAUUAAAACAAAAAAUUAUAUAUAUAUACAUAUAUAUAUAAAUCAAGAAAGAAAUAAUAUAAAAUAAAAAUAAAAGAGAAUCAAUAUUAAAUUAUUAAUAAUAAUAAAUUAAAUAUAAAAUAUAAAUAAUAAUAAUAAUAAUAAUUUAAAUUAAUUAUUUAAUUAAUUGAAAAAUUAAACUUAAUUAAUAAUUUUUAUUUAUUUUAAACUUUUAUUUUUACUUUUAUUUUCUCUUUUACUUGUCUUUUUAUUUUUUAUUUUCAUUUAUUUUUUAUUCUUAUUUUUAUUUAUUAAUAUUAUUUUUUCUUUUAUAUACAUGAUAAAUUUUAUGUAUUGAGAUAAAUUCAAUAUAUUUCUUUGUUUUUUCACUCAUUCAAUUUUUUAAGGCAAUAUUAUUAUUCCUAACCUUAAGUAAUAUUUGAUUAAUUUAUUAUUAGUGUUAUCAUUACUUGGUGGUUUUCUUUACUUGGUUGUUAGUUCCAAAAGCAUAAGAAGUAGAGCUCAUCUUCAAGGUUUCAUCACUUCCUUUCUUUAUAAUUUUUCUUGUUGAGGAUAUUUUUCGAGUAGUAGGAGGAUUUAAUCACCUCCUCCAUCCUUCAAACCAUCUCUUUACAUCUUGUAAAAAUCCAGUAGAAGUCUUUUCUCUAAUAGUAGGAAAAUUUAAUCACUCCCUCUAUCCUUUAUAUUUCUUCUAUUUAUAGAAAUAAUAUAGAAAGAGCAUAAAAAAGAUUCAAGAGAAUUGUUCAUCAACAAAAGAAGGAAAAAAUUCAAGAAGAAAGAAUUACAUAAAGAAGGUAGAUAGGAGAAUCUUGAGAGAAAAAAGAACAUAGAAAAUAGGAAAGGAAAAAUGAAAAGAUCCACAAUUAAAGUCAUAAUUCAAGGUGAGUAUUUUUUUCAACAAAAUUUAUUUAGUUUUAAAUUUAUUUUGCUAAUACAGAUUGUGGUUUGAAGAGAAGGAGCAUGAAAAGAAAGAAGAAAUGUAUCAAUAGCUUGCAAACAAGUAAGUCCAUGAAUCUUGUCAAUUAUUUCUAUCUUUAAAAUUUUAGAAAAUUACUUGUAUAGAAGAAGUGGGAGCUAGGAGUUGAAGGAUAGAAUCUAGGAAGAAGAUGAAAGACGAGGUAACCUUCUAAACCUUCUUAUAUAUUUUAUUUUUCUUCAGGAUUAAUAGAGCCUUAGAACCCUUUUCUAUCCUAACUCAAAAUUAGUUUUUUAGAAACCACUUAGUUCGAAUCAGAUAAGAAGAAGUCCACAUUGGAAUUCUUUAGCAUAUGCCAAGUUAGCUAGAGAUGCAAGUAGGUGAGUCUUUCUUCAACGUGAUGUGAUUUUCUUGCAAAGAACAAUUUUUGUGUAAAAAAUAAGUAUUUUUAAUUAUUGUAGUAGAUAAUUCUGCAACCGUCUUAUUGUGAAAAGACAAAAAAAAGAAAGAACUCAAGCUUCUUGUCAUCUUGGUGUCAUAAUAUGUGAAGUCUUGCUUGAGAAUGCUCCAGGCACCUGGCUGUAGAAGGUAGAAUAGAAAUUGCAACAACAAAAUCCUAAUUUUAAUAGAACAAUAACAAUGCUAAACAAGCUUUAAUCAAAUUCAAAGAAACCUCAAAAGAAUUCCAAAGAAAUAAUAAGAUAUCUUAAAGAAAUAUAAGAAUGAUUACAAACAUAUCUCAAAUACAUCUCAAUUCAAUGUUAAUUUUAUCCUAGUUAAAAUCUUACUUCAUUCAAACUUUAGGCCAAAAACUAACUAAAUCUUAAAUCUUAAACAAACUCAAAUAAAACCUUAAAUUCUUAAUUUAAUUUUGAUCAAAACCUAAUCAAAUCUUAAACCCUAACCAAUUCUUAAAUCCUUAAUCAAACCCUAAUUCUAAAUCAAAUCCUAAUCAAAUCCUAAAUCCUAAUCUUAAAUCAAACCCUAACCAAAUCCUAAAUUCUAAUCCUAAAUCAAAUCCUAAUCAAAUUUUAAUCCUAAUCCUAAAUCUUAAAUCAAACUCUAACCAAAUCUUAACCCUAAAUCGAAUCCUAACCAAAUCCUAACCAAAUCCUAACCUUGAAUCAAAUCCUAACCAAAUCCUAGUAAUUUCUAUAAUAAAUUUAAACUUCAAUAAUUAAUGAAUGAAUCAU